GGAAAACUCAUUUUCUGAGCGGUUACGCGGGUUUUUUUUACGAGCUUUUUGUAUCAUUUUUGCUGUACUAGUCUCUCUCUCUCUGUCUCUCUCUCUCUCUCUCUCUCUCUCUCUCUCUCUCUCUCUUUCUCUCUCUCUCUCUCUCUCUCUCUUUCUCUCUCUCUCUCUCUCUGUCUUUAUGGCUUGUACAGUUGAAGAUGUGAAAAGGCUCAUGGUGAUAAUCCCGCAGAUAACUGUCUAUGACCAGAUAUAGCUAUGAGAUCUGAAGGCUUGUUUACAGGCAUUUUCUUUUCCCUAACAGAUGUGUAUUGAAUUUUCAGUUGUUUUGUUUCGUUAAUACAACAACAACAACAAAACUUUUUUCCAUUAAAUGGGGUCGGCUAUAUGAAUCUUAUAACGUCAUUGCGCUCGGUUUUGUGUCAUGUCCUCCGUUAGAUCCAAGUACUCUAAGUUUUUUCUUAGGGUUUCUUCCAAAGUUUUCCUAGGUCUUCCUCUACCCCUUUGCCCUGAACCUCUAUCCCGUAGUCACAUCUUCGAACCGGAGCGUAAGUAGUCACAUCUUCGAACCGGAGCGUAAGUAGGCUUUCUUUGCACAUGUUCAAACCCAUUUUGUUUCGUUAAUGAUUUCUGUAUAUGUAUUCUUACUAUUGUAUUGAUCUGAAGUUUUCUGUUAAUAGAAAACCGAAGAGCACUUUUGGCGUUGCGGUAUUUUACCCCUAUAAAACGAUUAUUGGAGAUUGUUUUGGUUAGAAGAUGGUUAUAGAUUUUUGAUUUACUUUAUCUUCUGGUUCAAAUAUGAUGCCCAGUGAUGGGAGAAUUGAAAACCUAAACAGUGGUAAGCGUGGUUGAUUUUUCAUUAGCCCGUACUUACCACAAGCACCACCUCUCUCUCUCACUACAACAAACAACAACCAAGCCUUAUCCCACUAUACGUGGGAUUGGCUGGAUGAAUCAUUGAACGCCAUUACGCUGGGUUUUGUGCCAAGUCUUCCGUUAUCUCUGUCUCUCAUACAUAUAAAUAUAUACAUACAUUCACACAUACAUACGUUGGUGGUGCAUGGUGGAGUACGAAGGCUUUUGAGGAACGCCACUAGCCGUGAACUGUAUAUGACUCGUUCAAAGGUGUGAGAUCUGAGGGCACGAACCUUUGAAGUAGUGAUGCUUGUCAAGUUAUUUUUCAAGGUUAGAGCACGAGCCUUUGGUGUAGUAAUGUUGUGCUAAUGAUGAGUUAUACUCUGUAUCUAGCCUUUCUUUUUCUUGAAUUAUUUUGGAUCAUUACCAUGUUCUCUGAUAUAGUUUUUUUGCUGCUUCUGAAAGGUUUAUUUGCCUAAUGAUGGAAAACUCAUUUAUGGAGCGGUUCUGUGGAUUGUUAUUAGGAGCCUUUUCUAUCAUUUUCCUAUACUAGUCGCCGUCAUCAUCAACACCACCAUUCUUCUCUCUCUCUCUCUCUCUCUCUCUCUUCUCUCUCUCUUCUCUCUCCCUCUCUGGCUUGUAUGGUUGAAGAUGUGAAGAGGUUCAUAGUGAUAAUCCACAGUUAACUAGCAAUGACCAGAUAUAGCUAUGAGAUCUGAAGGCUCUUCAGUUUUUUGCCUUUUUUUAUUUAAGAUAUGCUUGUUGAAUUUUAAAUUAUUUUUGUUCCCUUAGUUAUUUAUAUAGGUCAUUGCAGCAUUGUAGACAUUAUUUUAGUUUAACUGGAGCACUUUUGGCAUUGCAGUAUUUGAUUACUAUAAAUGUACUGUUACUUUUGUAUUGAUUUCAAAUUUUCUGUUAAUAGAAAACCAAAGAGCACUUUCGGCAUUGCAGUAUUUUUGUAUAUAAUGCGAGCUCCCUUCAGACUCAAACCUGCUUGUACAUUGUUACAUAUAAAGCUAAUAAACUGUCGUUUGGAAAAAAAUUCACUCUUUCAUUGUUACUGAGUGCUUUUAUUUCCUACAAAGCUAUUAUUGUAGAUUGUUUUUGUUGAAAGAUGGUUAUACAUUUUGAUUAACUUUAUCUUCUGGUUCAAAUAUGAUGCCCAGUGAUGGAAAGUUGAAAACCUAAAUAGUGGUAAGGGUGGUUGAUUCUUCAUUAUCCCGUACUAACCACAAGCACCACCUCUCUCUCUCUCUCUCUCUCUCUCUCUCUCUCUCUAAUAUAUAUACAUACAUACAUACACACACAUACGUUGGUGCUGCAUUGUGGAGUAUGAAGGCUUUUGAGGAACGCCAUUGCCCAUGAACUGGAAAUGACUUAUUGCUAUGUGAUCUGAGGGCAUUUUCAUAGAACUCACUAUUUUCAAUUACCUAUUUGGGGAUAUAUCCCUCCUUGCAGUCCAAAUUUUGCGCCGCAAGUUACUUUGACCCCACAUGUGCGUUUGGGCCCCAAAUUUUGUUUCUUUCAUAAUUAUGAUUUUUAUAUGGGCUGAUUGUCUGUUCUGUUCUUGUUUCAAACUGUUGUUUCAUAAAAACCUGUAUUUUUCUUGACUGGGUGAUAGGCCUUUGAUAUUAAGUUGUUUUGAUGAUGGUUUAUUUUCAUUUGUGCUAGAAGUUUAUAAUGGCAUAGUUCUGAGUGGAGUGCUUGUUUAAUUGGCAGUUGGGGUUGGGUUAUAACUGUUAUGUGAUUGUGGGGAAUGAUGGUACCUGCAGUGGUCUCUGGGCAGUUUGGGAUUGCAAUUGUCGAUGGAAAUGCAGCCUAGAAUGCUAUUUAUGAUCCCUGGAGUAAUUCUACUUUGGGGUAUAUUUCAUGUUAUUGUUGUCAUCAUUCAAUUAACUUAUUGUGUCGCAAUGGAAAUUACUGGUCAAGUUAUUUAUGACCCCUGAAUUAGUGAUGUUGUGCUAAUGAGUUAUACUCUGUCUAUAGUCUUUCUUUUUCUUGAAUUAUUUUGGGUCAUUACCAUGUUCUUUGAUAUAGCUUUUUUGCUGCUUCUGAAAGGUGGUUCAGUUUUUAUUUGCCUAAUGAUGGAAAACUCAUUUAUGGAGCGGUUAUGUGGAUUGUUAUUAGGAGCCUUUUCUAUCAUUUUCCUGUACUAGUUGCUGUCACCAUCAACACCACCAUCCUCUCUCUCUCUCUCUCUCUCUCUCUCUCUCUCCCUCUCCCUCUCCCUCUCCCUCCCUCUCCCUCUCCUCUCUCCCUCUUUCCCUCUUUCCCUCUCUCCCUCUCUCCCUCUCCCUCUCUUGCUUGUAUGGUUGAAGAUGUGAAGAGGUUCAUAGUGAUAAUCCACAGUUAACUGGCAAUGACCAGAUAUAGCUAUGAGAUCUGAAGGCUCUUCAGUUUUUUGCCUUUUUUAUUCUUAAGAUAUGCUUGUUGAAUUUUAAAUUAUUUUUGUUCCUUUAGUUAUUUCAAUAGACAUUUCCUUUUCUGGUCAUUGCAGUAUUCUAGACAUUAUCUUUGGUUUAACUGAAUAGCACUUUGGGCAUUGCAGUAUUGUGAUUACCAUAAAUGCACUGUUACUUUUGUAUUGAUUUCAAAUUUUCUGUUAAUAGAAAACCAAAGAGCACUUUCGGAAUUGCAGUAUUUUUGUAUAUAAGGCCAGCUCCCUCUGGAGUCAAACCGCUUGUAGAUUGUUUCAUAUAAAGGUAAUAAACCAUUGUCUGGAAACUAUUGUUGUAGAUUGUUUUAGUUGAAAGAUGGUUAUAGAUUUUUUAUUAACUUUAUCUUCUGGUUCAAAUAUGAUGCUUAUUGAUGGAAAAUUCAAAACGUUAAGAGUGGUAGGCAUGGUAUUGUAGAUUCUUUUGUAUGCUUAUAGAUUUCUUUCUUAGAUUCCUCUUUUAUCCAAGAAAGCAGUUAUUGUAGAUUCUUUUGUAUGCUUAUAGAUUUAGUACGCACAAAUCUGUGUAAUGUUUAUUGUGUUCUAAGUUUACAAAGCCACAUGCUAAAUUACUCUUCUUUUUCUUUCUUUUUUUAAUUCUUGCUUGUACGAUUGAAGAUCUGUUGAGGUUUAUAAUCGAGCUUGUGACCGUGAUGACUAGAUACAUAUUUUCAAGGUGUUUCUGCAGAGACACUCAUUAACAUGGUAUUUGAAUUUAUUGCUAUAGUUGUGUUGUAUUGAUUUAUACAUUCUCAAUAGUUACAUAUUUUACCCAUUUAGUCGUACAGUCCAUUCCUCUCAAAGGUGCCCUUGCAAUGUUAAUUCAACAAAUUUUAUGAGGCCUCGAUCAACUGAAUAUAGUUAUGGUGUCUGUAAUAUGGUUAUCUUUAAGUCUAAGUGUAUAUGUGGCUUUGUUUUUUUUUCGCUUGGUUGGUGCAACAAAUGCAAAACUAUGAAGCAGUGGUUUUUGCAUAUAUGCUGCAGUAUAGGCUUACACCUUUGCCCAAUGAUGCAGACUCCUGUUCUGGGUAUGCUUUUGAUUUUCAUUAUGAGCAUCUCCACCUCCUAUAUUUCUAUCGUCAAUAGUAGCCAUCUGCUCUUUAUGGUGGUGGUGGUGGUGGUGGUGGUGGUGUUGUCGUUGUUGUUGUUGUUGCUGCUGCUGCUGCUGCUGUCUUAUAAGAUGUGGAGAGAUUGUAAAUGAAAAUCAAAGCUCAACAUCCUUAACUAUAAAUUCAGGAUAUGAUAAGGACUGAGGGCUAUCUUUUGUUUACUUUUACUACCCAAGUGGUGUUGUGUAAAUGAUUGUUUUUACCUACCAUGGGAUAGAGGUUUAGGGCCGAAGGGGUAAAGGAAGACCUAGGAAAAUUUUGGAAGAGACUCUAAGAAAAGACUGUACUUGGAUUUAACGGAGGACAUGACACAGAACUGAGCGCAAUGGUAUUCUAGGAUUCAUAUAGCCGACCCCAUCUAGUGGGACAAGACUCUGUUGUUGUAUUAUAUUGCUAAUGUAUUUUUCUCCAUGUGCACCACACAUUUUCAUGAUUCUUGAUACCUUUAUAUGAGUAAAGCUGUUUUCUGGAAUUGGUGCCGUUAUGAGGGAGGAAUUCGUCAAGAACAUGUUAGUUUUAAAGACUGAUGUCCUUUACAAGAUGCUAUACUUGUCUUGAUCAUACAUGGGUGGCUUUUUAAUGAUGCUUUUAGUCACUCUUUGUUAAUAAGCCCAAUGAUGAAAUCUCAUUUUGUGAAGCAGUGCUUCACUUUAAGCCGCCAUUUACUGUGCCACGCUGAUCAUCGCCAUUUGCCGGCUCCUUCUUCUUCUUCUUCUUCUUCUAUUGUUGUUAUUAUUAUUAUUAUUAUUAUUUCUGGUGAUGAUCCGGUGGUGUUCGUAAAUGGUGACUGGCUUUCAGUGAUUACUGUUUAUGAAGUUUUAGUAGUGGUCUGAGGGCUCAAAAUAUCAUUAGGUUUUAUUAUUCAAUGAAAGGCAAAUGAAUCUCCAGUAUAAUUUAAAUGUGUGGUAAUCUGUUUAUUAAUGAUCUGUUGAUGUAAAUAUUAAUAAUUUAGUUUGAAUACAGAUAGGGACAGAGUUUACUCCAAACUAUUUGCUAAUUCUUGCCUUCCUCUUCCGCAUGCAUUACUAAUCUUCUUUUCUGGGUUCAAGUUUCCUUUUGGCCCUUGAAUUGUAUGUUUUGGAUUUCAGGUUAUUUCGGUUCGAUUUCUUUUAAUAGAAUGUGUGAUUACGGGGCUUGAGAGUUUUCUUUUCUGUUGCGGUUGUGGCUGCAUCGUAUGAGUGAUUACCUCUUUCGUUGGGUGGAGACGGCGACUCUGUUUUCAACCUCUGUUUGGUUUUCACAUUGCAAUGUAAGUGUAUCGUACUGUGAUGGAAUCUCAUAUAUGGUCGGCUUUUCAAUAAGCCCUAUGAUGGAAUCUCAUUUUGUGAAGCAGUGUUUCACUUUAAGCCGCCGUUUAUUGCGCCGGACUGAUCAUCGACAUUUAACUGCGGCUGCUGCUGCUGUUGCUCCUCCUCCUCCUCCUCCUCCUCCUCUUUAUUAUAAAUAAUAUUUCUGGUGAUGAUCUGAUGGUGUCCGUAAAUGUUGCCUGGCCUUUAGUGAUCACUGUUUAUGAAAAUUUUGUUGUUGAUGAGGUCUGAGGGCUCAAAACUUAAUUCGUCUUGGUGUCUGGUGUCUCUUGAUAUGUAUUGGUGUUUUGCAUUGCAAAUUUGCAAUCCAAGUGUAAUUUGAUGCAUCCCGCAUGCUGCUUGAUGGUUUAUGAUCUUUGGUUGUAAUUGUUGUAGUGAAAUGAAAUGAAAUGAAAGCGUGUCCAUAUCAUGCCUUUUGGUUUGAUUUUUCUUUUCCUUUUUGUGCAAAGAACAGCUACUUGUCUUGUUUAUGCCAUUGAUAUUGGGAGAGGAGAGAUUCAAACACGACCUCGAAUGUAGGGUAAACGCUUUUUAGUUUUUUAUUAAGUGUAAUAUUCAUACGAGUGAAAUGUUAAAACUAUUAAAUUGUGUCGUAAUAUUGUGUUUUCUACCUUAAAAGAAAGGGGAAGUUUGAACUAAAUCAAGUGGGUAACCGUUAUAUGAACUGUUUCUAACUUUGUGGUUUAGAAUUAGGGAACUUUAAUUCAAAGUUUCUGAUACUGUUUAUUUUAACGAAAAAUCAUAUUUUUACACUAAAAAGUUAAUAUUGUAUUAUUUACUUUACCUUUUAUUUGUUCUUAUCUUUAAAAUUCAAAGUUUUCAAAUUAUUUUAUUAGUUUUCCUUUAAAAUUAGUGAACUUUAACGAAAAGCACCCGGUAUUGUUCAUUUUAAUGAAAAACCACAUUUUUUCACUAAAAAGUUAAUUCAGGUACUAUUCACUUUACCCUUUAUUUUGUCCUUAUCAUUAAAACUCAAAGUUUUCAAGUUCUUUUCAUUAGUUUUCUUUUAAAAUUAAGAUGGUUAUAAGACUUUUAAUUUUUCUUCCUAUUCCUGCUUUUUCGAUUUCCAAUAGUCGUCCGCAUGUGCGUUAGCGACAGUCAGCUCUUCAUGGUUGGGAGUUCAUGCAGCUAUACAACUGAUAGUCACCCAGGCGCAUGGACAACUACCUUAGGCUGUUCUGAUAUUCUUUUUUCUAUCUUUGAAGUGGAAGUAGGGCAAUGUCAAAGCCGGAAAAGGAUCCUCGUCGGAUUCUUUUCUUGGGGAUCCUAUGAUCGUGGUUGUUUAUCGUAUAUCGUACGGUCAUAAAUCAUUUGAAAUUUAAAAUUAUAUAUAAAUAAUAUCUAACGAAAAUUGACUGCACGAUGUACGAUGAACGUCACAAUCACGGGAUCUUCGAAAUUCCCGGCAUCCGUUUCCGGUGAAAGCCCCCUUACAACUUGGAUCUAGGUAAGAAUGUGUCAAAAGUCAAGAUACCCGGCAUGGUUGACGGAUAGGGGUGAAUCGGCUAUGGCUGCUAUCUGGUUGGGGUUAAGAGAGUGUGCUUGUGUAUUCAGGGCAUGGCUGGCUUUGGGCUUAAGUUAAUAGCAGACUUCAAAUAAGAAAGAGGCCUCUGUCAGGGAGGGGGCAGUUCUCGUGAGAGCAAUUUGUAUGAUACGGAUACAUUACUAUAGUGGUGUCAAAUGCCAACUUGUGCUAUUAGCAUAGCACAUUAACGUGGUGGUGUCUCCAUGUCGUACUUGUCCAUUUCCUAAGGCUCAUUCUCAAUGAAACAGUUACCUUUUACCGUUCCAAAUUAUUAUACUAUGUUACUAUCGACGUUGGGUUCUAAAUUUAUUUUGUUUCCAGAUAAAAUCAGCCUUCUACAUCACUUAGUCCACAAGGAUUUGCAAAGAUUUACAGAGUGGAUAUCAAUCUAGUAGUAUUUUUCUUCUUCAUGCUAUGUAGAGACUUCAAGUUCAGAACGUCUCAUUCACUUAUUUUAAAUUGUCAAUGAUAUUUAUUCUUGACUGUUUAUGUAAAAAUUACUUUUGCUCCUAAACGGGUUUUAAUAAAAUGCUUUAUAAGAAACCUGGCCAAAUUUCUAUUGAAAAUAUGAGUGCUUGAAAAAAGAAGCGUCGACAAAGUGCUUCCCCAAAAACACUAAACUAUUUUUGUCAUUUUGGAAGCAAUCAUGCAACGUAGCCUUAAAUUAUUGAAUCCAAAUGAAUGAUACGUGAAUGACAUCAUCAAGAAUAUAAAUAAUUAAAAGGCAUCAUCAAAUAUUUUAAAAUAAAAAAAAACAAUUUGAAAGAAGAACACUAGCGAGAGUGGUACAAACGUCCGAAAGAGGAUCCUCGCCAGAUCCUCUUUGUGAUGAUUCGGAGAUCUUCCAAUCACAUCUGUUUUUUUGUAUAUCGUGCGAUCAAUUUUCAUUAUGUAUAGUUUAUAUUCAAUUUUAAAUGAAAAAAUUUACAAUGAUUUCUGAUCGCACGAUAUACGAUGAACGAAUGUGAUUGAAAAAUUUUCAGGAUCCUCACAAAGAGGAUUUCUCCACACGUCCCACUCCAUCCAUCAAAUCAUUUAACAAAUUGACCAAUUCCAAAGAGAAUCAAAAGCUCAUGUUCCUCUCGAACCUCUCUUCAACUGGAAAACUACAUUUACUUGUGGUCCAAGAAACAACCAACCCAUAUAUAAUAUAUGAAUGAAAAUGAAAGCUACAAUUUGUUUAUCUUUGUUACCUUUUUCCCCUUCUUUAACAUGUGCUUAAUUGUUUGAAGUGAUCAAACUUAAUUAUAAUAUUUGAUUGAGUGAAUGAUGGGUUUCUUUCUUUGUUUAGAAAUAGACACAAACAGAAGCUAACUGCGUUUCACAUUUUACAUUUUUGAUGUGAUUUUUCUAAAUAUUGAAACUGUAUUAAUUUAUUUCUACAGUUUAAUAAUAAUAUUUGAUUUUUUAUUAAAUUAAUGAUAUAAUAAGCACGCUACUGAUUGAAUUCAUAUUUAAAUCACAUUUGUAACACACUGAUAAAGAAAUCAUCAAUAUAAUGAAAUAAUACACACUUAUUCAGAUAUAAAGUAUAAAUGAAUAUAAUAUCAAAUAUAAUGCAAGAAAAUUGAAACUUAAACGCCUCACGUUUAAAAAGUAAAAAUUGUAAUUAGCCUAAAAAGAAAAAAAAAAUAGUAAAUAUUGAUUUCUUGAUAGGAAAAGGAUCCACGUUGGAUCAUUUUUUUAGGAAUCCCGUGAUCGUAAUUGUUCAUCGUAUAUCGUGCGAUCAUAAAUUAUUUUAAAAUUUAUAAUUUAUAAUUAAAUAUAAAUAGUAUUUAAUAAAAACUAAUUGCACGAUAUACGAUGAACAGUCAUGAUGAUAAAAUUUCUAAGAUCGUUAAGAAAAGGAUUCGGUGAGGAUCCUUUUUCUUCUUGAUACAUUAGGGCACAGACAUAUCCCAGAUUUGUUGUAAAAAUGUGAGGUGUGUAAAGAGCCAAAGCAUGCAUAUAUGUAUAUUAUAUUCUGGACUGGGGGGACAACAUGGUGUUUCGCAAUUUAAUGAGACGGACCGGUAACUUGUGGCUGCGUAUGAUCAUAGGUCCACCACACCACGUACACACCUAUAGAAGGUUUUCAAGGGAAUAGAUCUCUAAUUCUUUAUUUAAAAUAAAAAUUAGUUAUGUGAUCCAUAUUACUUUAAACUUCAAUAAUCUAAGUUCAUUUUUUAAGUUGGAUCUCAUAAAUCAUUCUUACAAAAUAUUAGUCAAAUAAUUUUUUUUAAGAUAUAUAAUUGAGUUCAAAGAAAUUGACGAAUACAUUGUUUUAUGAGAAACAAGGAAUUUCAUAAUGAUAAUUAAAUAGUUAAAUGAUUUCGAAUUAAAUUGAAUUUUUGCAAGAAUAAUCUAUGAAUCAAGACUUACAAAAUAGACGGUUUGGAUUGUUGAAGUUCGAUGUGAAAUAUGCCUUAUUAUUAAUACCCAUUUUUACCUAAAAAUGGAAAUUCCUUUGAAUAAAGGGGCUGCAUACAUAUAUUAUGAGGAAUUACAUCAAUAACCACAACUCGAUGAAAAUGCAAUAGAAUUUCGAGUGAAGUUUGCUUUUUUGUCACAGCCCUUCCCGAAAUAUUGGAAUAUUCAUUCUCGAGGACGUGAAUUGAUGGUUUUUCCUUUGGACAGGUUGAGUUAUUUGGUGUUGUGGUGUGUAUGUGAUGGGAACUAAGUGAUUAUAAUUGAACUGAUCCCUAAGUUUUGGACCUAAGUGAACUAAAAAGGGAUUUGGUUUUGUUUUGGUUGAUUGGUGACUUUUGGACCACACACAUUACACCCCACUUUCUCUCUCUCUCUCUCUCUCACCCUCCCGUACUCUCUCUCAGAUUCACACACACUCUCUCUUGUACGAACGAGACCUAAAACCCUUGUAAACGUGAUGGAUCGAGGUGGAGAAGGGAACCAUUGUGUUCGUGAGGACCAUACGAGUUCAAAGGUACCAUUUUUAGGUAAGGAAACCUUCGAUUUCACGUGGAAACCCUAUCUCCGAUUUGAACACUGUUCAUGCAAACGUUAAAUCUUGUGUUUUUGGAAAUUUCAAGCUCACAGAGAGCUUAAGAAGAUCCUUAUGAGGCUCGGAGUACUUUGUUGGAGGUUUUUGGACGUCGGGAUAUCGAGAUAUGCAAGUUUAAAGUUUUGGCCAGAAGUUCGGGGAUUCUUAGGCGAGAUCCAAUGGUUUUGGGAGCUUGAAAUUGGUAUGAUUUUAUUCUAAAUGUUGUAAGCUUCGUUUGGGUACAAAUUUCAUUAAAUUUGGUUGAGAAACGACGAAGAUAUAAGGAUUUGAAAAAUUCCCAGUUUUCCGGUGACAGUGACGGUCGCUGGAGUCUGAGGUUGAAGACGACGGAAUAUUCCGUCAAUUCUGACGGAAUAUUCUAACACCCUCAGUUAAGUUUAACGGAAUCUGUUAGGAUUUAACGGAAUAUUCCCUAAUUGUCGUUACAGUUUCCGUCAGAGUACCCUGCGCGUGGCCGCGCGUCUUGCCGUGCACUCGUUGGUGCGUGGCGGCGCGUGGGUGGAUGAAAAAUUAUUUUAAAAAUAUGGGGACGAUCCUGAGAUUGUGUAAGUCAUUUUGGUAUAUUCAUAUACCCAAUUUGAGAUAUGUAUGAAAAGUUAUUACAUAGUUUGGUAUAUGUGCAUUAAAGUGACGUUUAUAUAAUUGCUUCUCCUAUAGGCGAGACCUAUCUGAAGGACGAGCGUAGCCAGGCUAGGCAUGGGGGUUACGACCCGGCUUCAUUUCAGUGAGUGGGCAGUUAUUUUCAGUAUAUAUAUAUACACACACCUGACGUUUUUCCCAGAAAAAGUAUUUAAAGGAAAUGUGAUUUAAAUGCCAUGCUAUGCCAAUGCCUAUAUUUUAUUUUAGUAUAUGCAUUAUCAUAAUUAUGCAUAUUGUCGCAUGGUGCUGUGAAGGCCCAGGUAAGCUCAGGUGAGUUAUGUUGAUUAUAUGAAUUAUCAAUAAUGUGAUAUGUGAUUGAAUAAUGUUGAGCUCAUAAAACUGCAUCUAGGGUGAUUGUGUUUUAGCCAGAGAUAUGAUACAUGCCUGUUUAUUAUGUCACCUCCCGCACCAUAUGCUCAUUUUGGAUCCAAUUUAGGUGCACAGUCUUGUCGUACAGACCUUAUUUAUGGUUCCGACUCAUAGGUGACUAGCGAUUAAUCGCUCGGCUAUUAUGUGAGAGUAGUAUUGAGCAUAAUUAUAUUACACCCAUUAUCGUCGUACAAACCUUUGGAUUUGGUUCCGACUCUUGUGCAGUAUAUUGCCGUAUAGAUCAUUGUAGUGACUCCGGCUAGAUUGACUUUUGAGCUAUGAAUUCAGCCGUUCAGACUACCACAGGGGUUUCGGCUAACAUAUCAUAUUUCUAUGAAAUCAUUCUUACCUGGAUCGUUACUUUGUUAUAUUUUGGCAUGGCAUACAUAUGAAUAUGAUUAUGUGAAGCAUGAUUGAAAUGAUAUAAUCACACACAUAUAUUUAUGUAUAUUCUUAUAUAUUAAUUUUGGGAAAAAUUAUACUUGUUUUACGGCGAUGGGUUAGUAUAUUCAAAGGAAAAUAAGGUUUUCAUGUAAAUGUGUUUUACUGACCCACUCAACUUUGUUUUUCGCCCCUUCAGGUUUUAGUUAGCAGAGUUUGGUGGCCACGAGGAAUUCAACGGUGUUCUGACAGAUCCCGAAAAAGUAGGAUUCACCAUCUGGUGUUGUAUCUUAGUAAUUGUCCGACUUGACUGCAACUAGACUUUCUUAUUGCUUUGAAAGUGUAUUUAUACACUUAAACUCUCACUAAUAUCCUUUCUUAAUUGGGAUUGUAAUCGCUUGGUUUUAAAUUGUUAGUAUUUCUCUUACUCUUUAUCACUUCCGCUUUGCGCUUAUGGCUGCGUCACUCUCACGUGACGGCCAGCACGUCUCAACUCCGGUUGGGGUGUGUCAUUUUUGAUAUUGAGUUUGAGGGUGAUAGUGACCAAUACUUGAUGGAAGCCAUGUUUUCAUGACCUUCUAUUAAGGUUAGAGAUAAAGUAAGUACUAGUUAAUUUAACAAAAAUUUAGUUGAGGCUUAACAAAUCAGACAAUUUCAAUAGGUUGGGUGUUUGUUUGGAAUGUUUAAAAAGAUUGAGACCAAUUUAGAAUGAAACUAAAAAGUUGAGGAUUUAUCCUUUAUAUUAUCAUGAAAGCUGAAAUUGUUAUUGUUGAUCAAUGUAUAGCAAUCAUAUAAAAUGUAAACUAAUGUACAAACUACAGUGCUUGGUUUGGGACUAUUUUUUAAUUUAUUUAUUUUAUCAAUUGUAAAAUGGGAUUUUAACUUGGGACUUCUUUUAAUACUAGUUUUGCCACUUAAUAUUACAAUCUAAUAAUAUUCAUCUUCAUUUGUAAGUAAUAAGUUUUUGGUUCAAUUAUCACCAAAAGCGAAUUUGAACCAUAUUAUUGCUAUUCCAUUAUGAGGCUUAGUCCACUCUUCCACUCCCUUAGUGUAGUAAAUAUUGUUCGCUAAAAAUAAAAAAAUACUAGCUCUUAAGUCUUGUUUAAGUUAUAUAUCAUAAUAAAAGUGAUUGAAAAUGUUCAUUUCAAGUAUCUCAUCAAUUUUUAUUAUAACACUUAAUGUACCGAAUUAUGUUUUCAGUACAUUGAAAAAUCUUUCCAAAACUAGAACCAAAAGCACCAAUAAAGUAAACAUAUAUACUUAACUUUUAAAGGUUUCUUUUGUUUUUGUUUUUUUAUAAUAUUUAUAUCCAAACGUGGUCUUUUUCCUCUUAAAUAUGUUUUGAAUCCUUGUUCUUGAAGUUUGGAAGCUGUUAGAAGUGGGCAAUUAGCAAUUUAGUAUUAGUUAAUUUGGAAUAUGCAUGGCUGGCUUUUUCUUGGGGAUGAGUAAAAUGGGCAUGUCUUUUAUGAUGAACUCCAUCCACGGCGUUUCUAAUUGUAUCAUGUGAAGAAUAAAAGUGAAAUAUUCCAAGAACCAGUUGGGAUGCUUUUAACUUUUCUUUCUUUAAUUUAAAAGAAUUUUGAGAUUCGAAAUUAAACUUUUUUCAGAAAUAAAUGGUACAAUAUUAUUCCACGUUUCAGUUCGAGCAGAUACAAAUGAAAGGUUUGGAGUUACUUGGACAUGAAGCAUCCACUUCUCUCGAAAAAGUAGACAAACAUACUAUUAAGCUCUUGUCCUUUUUAUCUUUUUUCUGAAACAAAGUGAUAUAUUUCCAACACCAACGUGGGGAUAAAAAGGACCAAGUCAUCGAGAAAAAAUAAUUGACAUGACUGCGAAUAUGGCUAAAGCAAGGGUUAGGAAAUGCCUAUCAAACAUGACGGUUUGGUUAGGUUUGGUGCGGUUUUCUUACACUUUAGUGAAGAAAACCAAACUAAAGCAGUUAAAUUAGUUUCAAAUCCAUUCAUGAGGAGAAACUUUAGAAAACCUAGAUGAAUGAUACCAUAUAAAAAUAUGACUCCUUAUAUUGAUUUGUGCAAGCUAUAUUUAGGUAAGAAUCCUCACUUACUAUAAUAAGGAAUUACAUUCCUAUAAUUCAUAGGAUACUCACAAAGAUAUUCCAAAUUAACUCAAUGAUUCAAUGAAAUAUCUUGGAUCUAUGUUAAAUUAGUGGAUAAAUGUAUCACUCAAAUGAAUUUAGUUUUAUGAUGUCAAUUAGGAUAGUCCUUGAAACAAUAAGGAAUUACAUUCCUAUAAUUCAUAAGAUACUCACAGAGAUGAUUCCGAAUUAACUAAGUAUACUCUAAGAGCAAGUCCACCGGGACUUGCUUUGCCCAGCCCCCAGCACAAAAAACAGCCUGGCCCUCAGUGAAAUUGCUCUAGCCCACAAAGUUGCCUGGCACCCAGCCCAUGCCAGGCAACAGCCCAGCCCAAUUUUGACAGACCAAGAAGUUGGCCUAUUUGGCUGGCGCGUGCAUGACAAGUGCGCCUGGGCGCGAGUAGCCGACAGGCUGCAGAGGGGCUGUCAGCCCACUUGUGUUCCGGAUCCCAUCGGCGACGUGGCAUGCUCAUAGCCGUUGGAUUUCCAACGGCUAGUUUUUCUAGACCGUUGGAUUUCCAACGGUAACAAAAAUUUAAAUUUUACUUUUAAAAUAGACCGUCCGAUCACAGAUCAACGGUCUACGUUAAUUAACUAAAUUAAAAUUUAUUAAAAAAUACAGAAAAAAUAUUAAAAAAUACAGAAAAUUUUAAAAAAUUUAUUUAUUUUUUCUAUAAAUACCUAACUCUCAUCUUCCACCUUACACCACAUUUCAAUAUUUUCUACACUUUCUACCAAAGCUUUCAUAUACUUUUUGUGUGAAAAAAAAAAUACCAAAAAGCUUGUGGUUGAAGAAUAAAGUGUAUUUGAUGAGUUUAUGUAAUUUCAUUUUAGUGUGUUUUUUUUAUAGUUUAUUUGAUGAGUAUGUAAUUUUAUUUUAGUGUGUAUUUUUUUUUAAGUUUAUUUGAAAUUUUAUCUGAAAUUGGUUAAAAAUCUUAUCCAAAAUAAACUUAAAAAAAAAAACACACCAAAUAAAUGCACUGGGUGCCAGCGCAUUUUUUUAGGGGUGGAGAUGCCUUGGCCUAUUACUGUUCACUCCAGCCUAUUACUGUUCAUUUGAGUGGAUAAAUGCGCUGGGUGCUGGCGCAAAGUCCUUAGGGGUGGAAUUGCUCUAAUAAUUACCUAUUAUUUAUUUGACAAAAGGUAUGUAGAAUUUCAAGUGGUAAUUGCACAAAACUUGAAAAGUUCAGUUACCAUAUUUAAUUAGUUUUGUAUUUUAUUUUUUAUUGGCACUUUCAAUGCUUAUUAGCAAAUUGAUGUUAUUAUUAGUUAAAGUGUCUUUUGAAGAUCUGGUUAAAUCUCACUUUGUCUUCUAAAAAUUAAAGCGACCUACAUUAUUCUUUCACUGAUAUUUUGUGUCCUACUUUGCACUCUACAGGUAAAUCUGUUAAAAAUCCUUGUUAAAAUAUUGGCGUGACACAAACGGAAUUCAUUAUUCGUUGAAUAUUUGUAAGGUGGGUGCCAUGCAUGCAUGAAAAAGUAAUAAUAAAAACAUUUUUCAAAAAGAAGUUGUUGAAUACUUCACCAUAUUGAUGUGCACGUUAUUUUGUUGUUAUGGCAAACAAGAUUGAAUUAGAAUUAUAGAGGGUUUGACUUCAACUGUCAUUGUCCAAACACAAAGGAAGAAAAUAAUAGAAAAUUAGUAGGAAGAGAAAAAUAAAUUGAAAUAUCUCAAGUGCCAUGCUAGCUUAUCUGUUUCCAAUCUCCAAUACGUAAUAAAAAACAAAAACAACUGUUAUUAACAUUUUAAAAUUUUAUAUUUUGUACUUUUUCGAGUGCAUUAUUUACUCUAAAUAUAGAAAAUUUGGAGUGUAAAUUAAAAUUUUUAGAGUGCUAAUAACAAUUUUCAAAACAAAAAUGGGAUAUUUGUCUGUAAGAGCUCGUUUGUAAGUGUUUUAGUAAAAAUAUUUUUAAAUCAAUUCAUAGUAAAAAUUCAAGUGGAUCAUAGUACAACACUUUAAGUGCUUCUUGCAAGAAGCACAUAUAUGUUGCUUCUUCCAAAAAACACUUAAAGUGCUUUUGAAAUCAGAAAAUCAAUUUCAUAAAAAGUGAUUUCAGUUAAUUUAAAGGGUAAUAAUAGGGAGACCAAAAUUUUAAACUAAAUUGCAAAUAAAAUGAUGUGUCAUCAACAGCAAAUAAGCACAUUAAUCAAUAUUUAAAUAAUAAUCUGAUCAUUAAUCAACACACUAUUUGAUUUGUAAAUUUAAUUUUAAUAAUUUGAUCUUUCCAACAUUAUCCUAAUUCAAAAAUACUUCUACACGAGCUUUAAAUGUUUGUGUACUAAUCGACGAGUUUCUUAUCAAUAAUACAACUAUUAUACAAAACUAAGUAAAUAGAUUUUCUCUGUCUCUCAUCAAUAAUUUUCCCAUCACUUUGGAAAAUUACGUUCUUAAUCAUCGAGGUGAUCCUGUGAUCACCUCGUCCUCAGCGGAUGGUGAGCAACAACCCACACGUGAACUGGUUUUCUUAAUCAAGAUGCCUAAAAGUGAGGGAUUCUCUUAUAAAAAUUCUGGUAAAUUGCUGUCCUUAUCUUCAGAUAACAAUGAAGAGAAAUGAAUGGGUUCGAAUUAUGAAAGUUCAUACAAUGAAAUGAUGUUGUGACAUCAUAUAAUGAGAAAUAAUUCCUUACAUGCAAGAAACCAAAUAAUGUUCUUAACAAAAAGCAUGCUCAAAUUUCAAACUCUCUUUUCUUCCUUGUACCACAUUGAAGUUGGGGCAAGGCCCUUCAGAGGCUCAGUCUUUGUUAUUAUUAUCCUUAUGUACACAUUUUCUCAUGUUAUCCAUCUAAAAUUUUUUUGCUCGAAUGAGAUUAUCGAUGAACUGUAUUUUUGUUUGAAAUUAGCUGAUGUAAUUUAUCAUUUACUUAGCUCGCAUGAGGUAUUAAUAGAGAGUGUGUGAGAGGUACAAAGUUGUGUAUGAAUACUUGUACCCUAAUUUUAUUGGAACACUCUUUUUUGGCUUAUUUUUAGCUAAGCUCUCUGAAACUCCAUUUUAUUUCUACUUUGCUAUCUGUAACUCAAAAGUUAUUACUUUACUUCUUGAAAUUCAAAAUUCAUUUCACUUUGACUUGUGAACUCCAUCUUCUCGUUGAAACUUAUAGGUCGUCUUCUGAAACAUAUGUGAGACCCAACACACAAUAAGACUAUGCCACAUAUGCAAUAAAUUUGAUUAUAAAUCUCCAUCGUUAACAUUCAACAAUAAGAGAAUAUUAAGUUUAAAAGAAGUUGAAGAGAUGAAAAAAAAAAUUAAAAAAAAAUAGAUUAGCCUGGUGCACUGAAAAUCAAUACCACAUAAGAAAUUAACAGAUCUAGGGCAACGUGGAGCAAAUUUUACGACUUUCAAGCUUUAAAGGGCAAAAUGAAAUAAAAAUCGAGUUCCAGAAGGCAAAGUGAAGCGACCUAUGUGUUUCAGAAAGUAAAGUGGAAAUUUUUGCGUUACAUGAAAGUGCCGCCUAAGUCUUUUUACAGCGACCCACUCUUUAAGUUCACUUUCCUCCUAUCCUCAAACAAACAAGUAGUAGGAGUUACUAUCUCAAAGAAACGAACAUAUGUGUAUCUUAAACUCGUGCUUUUCGUAUAAAAGAAGAAACCCAAGUCUAAAUUCGUGUUUUAUUUUGGUUGAAAAACUUAAAACUAAAGUUGGAAAGUUAAAAGAAAAUAGAAUCGAGGGCAGUGAGCCACAUGUAGAAUGGAGUUGACGUUUACUUCUACCAACCAGGGGCAGCUCCGUCAAUUUUGCUAAAUUAAAAUGACAGACGUCAUCCCGUCGUCUUCUCCGUUGGGGCCCACUCAUCCCUCGGCCCCGCCCUCGCUCACCCUCAACUUUCUAGAAGGACCAAGUCAGCAGGUUAAAUCCAUCUACCUCUCCAAUUUACGCGCCAACAAAGACCCAGCUGUACCGUCCACCUGUACACCCCUUCCGCUGAACGAGUCCGUCCUCGUCCCCCAAGUGGCACCGCGCCCCCACCCUCGGCGAACUGUAACAAACCCCCCUCUAACCCCAAAACCAAUGGCCCAGAUGCAACUUGUUCUCUCAGAUAUCCGCAAUUAAAUCUUAAAUAAAUUAAAAUGUUAAUAAAAUAUGUUUAAAAAGCGUUUGGAGCUCCCAAAUUAAUCCAUCGUGUCCGCUCCGUGUAAGCUUCGCUUUCCCCGGAGCAAACAAGAAAAGUUAAUUAGUACAAAGUAAAGUAAUUAAGAGAGUGAUUAAGUUUUUCUAAUUAUGGUAAAACUCUAAUCUCACCCCCUUCCCCUCCAUAAAACGCAGACCCUCUCUCUCCCUUCUGUCCCUCUUACUCUCUCACCUCUCUCUCUCCUCCCAACACACUCCUUCUCUCUCUAGUCGUUUAUAAUCUUAUCAAAUGGUUUGAAUUUGGAUUGGAUUGUGUGAGAAAUGCCAGCGACGGAAUACUCGUCAGCUGGUUCCAACCAAAUCGGACGGUCAAUCUUCGGCCUCAGACGCGAUCAGUUGAAUUCAAUGGAAACCCACGGCCUUUCAGGUGGUGGUGGCGGUGGUAGUGGUGGAUUGAACCUCGAUUCCUUCCAAACCCACGUCGCCGAUUGCUUCCUCCAACUCUCCUCCUCCCACGACCUCCUCUCCCUCCCAUGGCUCCGAGACCUCCUCGACUCCUUCCUCCGCAUACACCAGGAGUUCAAAACCCUCCUCAUCCUCUCCACCAAAACCCACAUCUCCAAACCCACCGUUGACCGCUACAUCUCCGACUACUUCGAGCGCAGCGUCAAAGCCCUAGACGUCUGCAACGCCAUCCGCGACGGAAUCGAGGAGAUGCGCCAGUGGCUCAAGCUGCUCGACAUCGUCCUCGUCGCGCUUGACCGCGACAGGACACUCGGCGAGGGCCAAUUUCGCCGCGCGAAGAAGGCUCUCGUCGACCUGGCCAUCGCAAUGCUCGACGACAAGGACUCCUCCAACACCACCAUAGCCCACCGGAACCGCUCCUUCGGCCGAAACAACAACACAAAGGAUCAUCACCAGCAGCAGCACCGGUCGCUCGGCCACUUCCGAUCUCUGUCCUGGAGCGUCUCGCGGUCGUGGUCGGCCGCGAGGCAGCUGCAGGCAAUCGGGAACAAUCUAUACGCCCCUAGGCCCAAUGAAAUUGUGGCCUCCAGCGGGCUCGCGCCGGCGGUUUUCACAAUCAAUUCGGUUUUGCUGUUCGUAAUGUGGGCCCUGGUGGCGGCGAUCCCCUGCCAGGACAGGGGACUGCAGGUGCAUUUCAACGUGCCGAGAAGCUUCGUGUGGGCGGGGUCAAUGCUGUCUCUGCACGAUCGGAUUAUGGACGAGUCGAAGCGGCGGGACCGGAGAAAUGCCUGCGCAUUGUUGAAGGAGAUUCAUCAGAUCGAAAGGUGCUCGCGGGUGAUCGGCGAUCUGGCAGACUCGGCGCACUUCCCGCUUGCGGAGGCGAAGGAGAAGGAGGUGAGGGAGAGAGUGCAGCAACUGUCGAGUCUCUGCGAGGGGAUAAAGGAGGGGUUGGAUCCUCUGGAGCGGCAGGUGAGGGAGGUGUUCCAUGCCAUUGUAAAAAGCCGAACGGAGGGGAUGGACUCGUACUGAAGAACUAAUAACCCCGAAUGAUCAUCGAAAUCAAUUGCCAAUUGAAGAAGAAGAAGACGAUGAGAUCAAUUUUGGCGCCAAUAAAAAUUGGGUAAGGAGGAGAUAUGACUUUUUUUCUUUCUUUGUAUUUAAUCAUCACUGAAUGGAUCAGCAGAUCACCAUAUAUAUUGUGUAUAGAAAUUAGGGUUUAUGCAAAUGGACCAACUUCUCCCUUUAAUUUGUGUUGUUGCUGAUUUAAUUUACCUUUGUAUAAUGGAAUUUCUGAGCAUGCUUCUGGCUGCUGCUCUUUCUCAUUUUUGUUCAGUUGUUACAUAAUCUUUCUUCUGUUCUCUGCUACUUACCGAUUACGAGAUACCAUUUGAGGAAUUCGAAUUUGUUUGUGGGUCGGAGAGAGAGAGAUUUGAGCCGUAUUCUAAUCUAAUCUGAACUACGGGGAAGAGAAUUCAAACAUAAGGGGGCAAUAUGCUGCCCUGGCUAGCUUGGCCACGCCUACGAAAUCAUUUGGAUUCUAGUUUAUUUGGGUUGAGUGUGUCUCAUUUUCCACCUCGUCGUUCCCAGUGCACAAGGCUCUCGCUUUACGCAGGGUCUGGGAGAGGUGAAUGUCGGCUAGCCUUACCCCCAUUUUAUGGAGAGACUGCUCCCAAGUCUCAUUUUCCACCUCAAUGUCGGAAAAUGACUCCAUCUCUCUUUUGUCCAGAAAACUGUACAGCGGAUUAAUGAUAGCAAAUUAUAUUUUGAUUGUUAAUGCAUGGUGAAUAGACAGAAGAAAUAAGGCAAAUCUGCUGUUCGAUUGUGGUUGGAAUUUUCUGCUUGCAAUAUUUCAAUAUGCAGCUUCAAGCACAGAAGGAAACUCCAAGUUACUCCAGAUGAAAAGGGCUGAUGUCGAUUCUGCUGACUUCCAUAUGCAGUAAGGUUAGGCUUUUAUGUAUUUCUGACUAUUUCUGGUGAACCUGAGAUUGAUUGGUGUUGGGUUAUUUAUGCAUAUGUUCCCACUCUUAUUGCAGGAUUUUGACUGUGAUUUGGUCGUGCGAAGACGCCUGUAAAGUUCAUCUGUUCUGAUCCUUGUGUAGGGUUUGAUUUUGUCAAUUCUCUUGGUUGAGUUCCAACUCUUGCCCAAGAAGAUGUUACCCUGAUUGCUUCGAUCUCAUUUUGUUUCCCUCUAAUGGAAAGAAAGGUAUGUAUCCAAAGUUUCUCGACCUUGUUUCGUUACAACAUCUGUUCACAUGAAAGUCAGAAGUUUAUUUCAUCUCAACUGAGUCCUCUGUUUUGAAGGUUACUUUUCUCUCUUUCAUUGUUUCCGUUCUUACCGUCUUCCUCUCCGCAAAGCUUGCCUUAUCUGUCUCUCCAUUGUUUUGAAAAUAGUCGGUCCAAAAGACUAGUUUUCCUACUGAUGUUACUUGGUGUACAGGGUUCGAUUUGAUCUCCACCUAAGGUUGUUAAGUACAGAGUGGUCUAGCUAAAUGCCUGCUUCAACACAUUGAAUCGGUCCCAUCCUGUGGCGGUUCAUCAGGAUAGCAGGUACUACUACUGAUAACUUGGACAGCAUGUUAUCAGUCGCCUGUACAUGCGAGAGCUUUUCCUAACCGUUAAUGGAUCAACGCUCAGGAUUCGCUCACGCAUGAGUGGGCGACUGAACAUAUUUUGACUUGCACUAGAUAGACUUAACCAAUCUUGUGCAUCGAAUGGAGCCGCUUGGAAUCGGUCUUUGUGAAGAUUUCCUCUAGCUGUUUAGAAAAAUAGGUUUUGGGUCAUCCUGUCACCGACUUAUCCUGAAUUCGGAGGGGGAGGAAUAAUAAUGCAGUUGGUAGACUGUAAACAUCACGACGACUGCUGAGAGCAGUUUAGCCUCUUAUCUUGCGCACCAACCUCGUCGAAACGAGAGGCUGCCAGAGGAAAGCAGUGGACCCUACAAAAACAAGAGUCUUAGAACUUCAGUGCCACCGAUUUUGUGUUAAGUCUUUCGAGUUGAUUCUAACAACAUCAAAAUUUUAUCUUACUAAAGGAAAACGAUUGUAUAAUCUUAGAACAACAAUGCAAUCGAUUUUGCGUGAAAUCUUUCAACUGGACCCUAAUUUUCUAAAUUAAGAAUUUGUAAGAGUAGUUAUCAAUGAGCUGUUGUUAAAUGUAGGGUUUAAAUGCUAAAAGCAAGUUUUUGUCUUUUGCCUUGGUUGUAUUGAUUGAUGGAGCUGAUGUGGCAUGUAUUGGGAAGGUGGGUUCAUGAAUUUAUGAUGCAGAUUGGAGAUUGGAUUGGAUUGGAGUUAUGGGAAUGCAUCCUACUUGGGUUCCUUGCUAGCUGUUGAGCCAUAAAUACCAAUAGCCUCUUUUGCCCUUAAUUGUUUGCAACUAAGAUCAUCUUCAAUCUACUCAAAAUUCAAAUCUUAUAUUUAAGGUCAUCUUCAACCGAAGGCUAGCAAAAUGAUUCGUUUUAGCCCUCUGGUCUUUUAAGAUAUUAAUAUUUUAAUAAACAAUACAUGGUCAUAUUUGCCUCCAUCUUCCACCGAGGGUCAAAUAUAAUUUAUUAUUUAAAUUUAAAAACCACAACAACUUAAAUUUAAAAACUACAACAACUUAAAUUUAAAAAACUACAACAUAUGUUUAAAAACUAUAACUUAAAUUUAAAAACUACAAAUUAAAUUAAAAUUUUGUAAAAUAGAAGUUAUAGAAAAAAAAUAGAAUUUAAAAAUAGAAGUUAUAGGAAAAAAAUUUGUAAAAAUAAAAAAUAAAAAUGGCUAGCUGACGUGAGCUAGCCGUUGCAUUUGAAAAUUUGGCCUAGCAUUCUUGUCGGAUAUAACCGACAAAAAUAUAUUAUAUUGCUAUCGGUUAUAUCCGAUAGGAAUGCUCAGAUUUCUGGUCCAGCCCGGGUUUGGCUGGAUUGGGCUAGCCUUUUGGCCCUUUCAGAUUAUGUGGGGCCCACGAGUCCUCUGGCCUAGUCCUCGGUCGGAGACGGUUUUCGGGCUAUUUUUGGCCAUCUGGCCCUCUGAACCUUUCAGUUGGAGAUGGCCUAAGUUGACUAGUAAUAUGACCGGAAACUUGAAAUUUAUUAUGGUUCGUUCAUUAUGUGGCUACUUGACAAAUGAUUUUAUUUAGCAAGUGGCUUGUAGCUCAGUUGGUUAAAAAUAUUUAUUUUUGUAAUGGAAGUCUUAUGUUCGAAUCUCUCUUUCCGUAAUGUGAAGUAGAUUAUCUUAUCGUUUGUAAAAAAAAAAAAAGGAAAAAAAGACAAACGACUUUAUUUAAUUACAACAACAAUAUAUUUGUGCUAAGGUACACAAUUGAUGGACCAUAAUAGUUUGGUUGGCAACUUGCCAUCCACAAAAAUCGAUCAUAAAACAUUCUACUUAUAAGUAAAAAUAAAUAUUACUAGACCGUAUAAUUUUAAAUUUUUUUUAAAGUUGAAAGUGGUAUCAAAGGACUAAAAAUUUUAGUUUUUAAGAAUUGAGUUAAAUGUUUCGAUUUUAUGAAUCAAUGAAUAUCGAACUUUCUCCGCAAAGACUUUAUAGCGUAAAUGUACACAAAAGAUCUUUGCCUCUUCCCCAUAAACUUGAUUUCCCAAUCUUUAUGCAAAUUUGUAAGCCAAAAUAAGUAAAAAAUUGAAUAUCAAUUAUAACAGAGGAAGUGAGAGUCGGAGGUCUCUUAACUCUACACACAGAUUAGAAGCUAUAUUUUUCUGGUUCUAAUCCUGCUGAUUGCUAGCACCAGCAGGGACACAAUAAGGGCUGAACCUGCAAUGAUAAAAGGAGAGCACAGCAGAUUAGACUUUUCCAAACCAUCCUUCUUCCCCAUAUCCUCACUUGAUUCCUCAUCAGCCACAUCACCUUGUUCCUCCGUUUCGGAAGAUUCAUCCUCUUCCUUCUCUUCAUUUUGUUCUUCAUUCUUUGAUACUUCUUCGAUUUUGUUUUCGUGACCUUUUUCGAUGGGUUCUUGCUUUGGUAGCUGCUGAACAAUAUCACCUUCUUUACGAACUCCGUCCGUAUUCUUUUCGUGUCCGACUUGUGCUUCUUCUUGUGUUGCUCUUCUGUCUUGUGCAAGUUUUGAUGAUUUGCCGCUCUCUGGUCUACUUCUAACGUGUUCCUCAAUCCCCGCCUUUGGUGUUUCUAUUUCGGGCUCUGCAGUAGAGUAUUCUUCAGCUGUUUCAUGCUUAGCAAUUGCCUGAGCUUCUUGUAAUGACCUUGUAACUUCAUGAGUUACUUCACUGGUUUUAUCCACAUUCACUGGCUCUUCAGCAUCCUUGCUGAUCCUUGGAGCCUUGUCCGCUACAAUUUGGUCUCUUCCGAGUUCCUUUCUUUCAACUUUCUCUUUCUCAACUCCAUCAGCUUCUUUAACCUUUGCAACUUUUAGCUCUUCACUGUGUUCCGAAACAGAUUUUGUUUGGUGUUGCAUACUUUGAGUCUUUGAAUCUUUAGCUUCUUCCUGCACUACGCCUCUGCUCGCAUCCUUUUCGAUAGCUCCAUCAGCUACAAUUUCUUUCUUGGAGCCCUCUUCAUCAACCCCUUUCGCAUCUGUUCGAUGAUUUUCUUCUACUUUCUUUUUCUCAAGCUCACCAAAUUGGUCCUCAAUUUUCCCCCUAAAACCAUAUUUUUCAGAGACUUCUCCAGCCGCAGGAGGUUUUGUGAGCUGCUGUCUCCCUAUAUCCACUUCAUCUUCUUUCACUUCCUCGAUCUCAACCCCGCGAAUUCCUUUCACCGAUUUUGGCAUGACGAUCGUGAGAGUUGAUUCGUGUGCAUUAAACUUGGCCUUGAUUCGAUCCAAAACCACUCUAUCCGGAAUUCGAAAGACUUUUCGGAAACCCCUCAUCUCCACCUCUUUCUUGUACAUUAUCCAUCCUGACAUAACCUUCUCUUGAACUGGCUUCUCCCCACUGAUUCCAAUCUGAGUCCCAUCUUCGUUUAUGUCGAUAUGUACACGCUCUCUUCUAUAACCUGCAAAAAUUAAUUUCUUAAAUAAAAACACACAUGUGAAUACUACGAGAGCGCUCACAUUAAGAUAAAAUGAAAAGAUACCGACCUUUGAGAUGGGCAGUGAGGAUGAACAUGGUUUCGGUUUCCUUAGACACGAAAAUAGGACCGGAUUUGUCCUUGGCAAUCCGAAGGUUGGCAGACGAAACAUGAUCGUCUACGCUGUGGGUGAUCUUGAGUCCUAAUUCUAGAUCCAUUGGUGGUUUUUCGUGUUAGAUAUCAAUUUCGGAAACUCAAAUUUUUAUUUCAUAAAAAGGGGUAGAAGAAUGUGGUUAUUGAAUUGAGGGAAAUGUUAGGUGAGCAUAUGAACAAAGUAAGCACAUAUUCAUUGCUUGUUAAUUAGGGCUGCUGCAACUGUUUAAAUCCUUUGCUUUCAUGAUAUUAUUGUUUGCCUUGGCGGGAAAGCUAACCUCUGUUUUUCAUACCAAAAACAUGCAAAUGUCCCUUGGGUUACUGUUAGACCUUAAAAACUACCAAGCCUACAUGGCGCGUAGGCCGAGUAAUUAAAAAGCUAACUAAGUCAUUCGGUUGUGUGCGGGGCAUGCCAACUCGUCGACCGAACUCGGCCGGGGAGUAAAAUGUGUUGAUGUUGCGUUGGGCGCGAUGCUGACUUCUUGAUCUUGCGACUAUGGCCGAGCAAGGAACACGUCUCAGCCUUCAGGUUCCAGAGCCUGAAGACAAGACUGCUAGUUCUGUGAAGUUCAAUAUCAAAUUCGGCCUUCAAAGUGCCGAAUGUAGUAACCUGUAACACCUCACUUCGUCGAGAAGGCUAAUAAGAUGACCUCUGCCAAUAAGGAGUCGAAAAUCCUUCUCGACCGAGACUUGGAUAGAUAACCAAUCGACCCCGACGCCGUGCUGUUUAUCCAAACUGAAGGUGCUCCGGGGUCGGUUGAUUUCACGGCAACAGUGCUGUUUAUCCAGACUGAAGGUGUCACCGAACUGAAGUUGUCACUGGUUGCCCUCAUAGUGCUGUUUAUCCAAACUGAAGAUGUGUUGGCAAAAAAGGAAAAUAAAAAUCUCAAGGUUAUUGAGAGGUUUCGCGUAGAGCGAGUUUGCGCAAGGCAGUUUGUGUGUUGAGUUUGAGGGGGCAUCACUUGUUGCAACGCACCUUGUAUUUAUAGCAUUCAUAUCUUCUACUGGGCACAACCAGAUAAUUUUGUAGAGUCUAACUACAACUCUAAUUCACGGAAAUGAACUUGAUCCGCAUCAGAAACCAAGGCAUAUCCUUCAAAUUGAUCCGUGGGAUUUGUUUCUAGACUUUUCAAACCUAAUAAAAGUUAGGCUUAUCACAUCUCAUAAAAAGCUUGGCCCACCGAGGCUUCUUAUCAUCAAAACUCCAUCAGUAGCUUUUAAACCCAUCUGACAUCACCAUGCAAAAAGGCCUAGUCUACCUAGGUUCUUUAUCCCAUCAUUAUCCAAGACCAUGAUUUUAAGAUCAUCAAAUCCCAUAUGUUGAUCUCCACUCCAAGCUAUUUCAAUCUACACAUCCACUGCUAGACGUCCAAAUCAAUUUGAACCGCACCGCUUGCUUCAUUAUCUAACGCCAUAUAUAUCCCAAUAUCCCACCAUCAUUUUAAUUGGGAUUUAGACAAAUAUUAGGUUUAAAUAAUUUAAUAUAUUACCAAGAGAUAAUAUAAUGAUUAAAAUCACAAUAUUAUUUCUCAAUAAUAACUAAAAAGGUAAAUUACAUAGUAACCCCUCAGGUUUGAAGUCUAUUACAGCCCCAUACAACAUCUUUAAAACAUUUCACUUUCAUACCUUAAGUACUAUUUUAUUUCAAUUUCAUACAUACGUUACAUUUUCCAUCCAUUGAUCCGUUAAGUACUGAUGUGGCUGGCAAAUGCGUGUCAAGUGGCAAUUUUUAUUUUAUUUUAAUUUUUUUAAACUAAAUCUUCUAAAUAUUAAAAAAAUAAAAAAAAAUAAAAACUAAAACCUUAUCCCCCUCAUCCUCCUCUCUUCUCCCCGCAACCCCCAAACCUCUCCCCCAUUUUCAUCUUCUUCCCUGCAACCCAGAAAGAAAGGAAAAAAAAAAAACCCUUUAAGUUCGUCUUUCCGGCCCCCUCUUCCCCUCUCUUCUCCCCCAUCUUCAUCUUUUUUCCCCCGACCCCCUACCUGUAACCCAAAAAAAAAAAAAAAAAAACCCAGAUCCCGUCUCGCCAUUGUCGUGUUCGUGGAACGGGUGUGGAUUUAAGGAGUGAGGGGUGUUUAGAGGAGAGUGAGGGUUGUGUAGAGAGGAGAAAAGGGUGGGCGGUGGGGUUGCAGAUGAGAGAAGAGAUGGGGUCGGGUUCUGGGUGACCUGUAUCGCGGAAGGGGGGAUGAGGGUUCUGGGUUGACCUGCAUCGCACCGCGGGGGGGCUGGGGUGACGAGCGUCGUACCAGGGAUAUGGGGUUACAGGGAUCUAAGGGAUAGAUCUGGGUUUUUAGUUUUUUUUGGGGGGGGGGUUAUGGGGAUAUGAAAUAGGUUUUUUUUUAAUUUUUUAAUUUUUAAUUUUAAUAUAUAUAUAUAUAUAUAUAGAAAAUUUAGGUUUUUUUAAUUAAAAAAUUAGUAUUUAUGCCACAUGGUGUGUCACGUUGGCAGCCACGUCAGCACUUAACGGAUUAAUGGAUGAAAAAUGUAACGGAUGUAUGAAAUUGAAAUAAAAUAGUACUUAACGUAUGAAAGUGAAAUGUUUUAAAGAUGUUGUAUGGGGUUGUAAUAGACCUCAAACUUGAGAGGUUACUAUGUAAUUUACCCUAACUAAAAAUCAUUUCAACCACUUUGUCAUUCAAUGGCCUAAAAUCCUGCUCAUUCAACGGCCUUGAUUACUCAGGCCGAUAGUGUAAAAUCGGGUCCAAACAUUGCCCCCCCCCAGUUUCCUUAACUUUUCGGCUCGUAAGCCAAAUAGUUAAGGAAAUUAAUUAUUCGUAGCCAACAAAAUCCCAUCACAUUACUGAAAAAGAAACUUUGUUCCUUGGCAAUAACAUGUAUGUUCUGCCAACGCUGUGGUCUUCCUCGACUGCCACAAUUCUAUACAAGGUUUGGCGACUUUGCCAGAAAAACCUUGUAAUUACUUUGACCAUCCAACUCAUACGGUCGAAAUGCAAAUGGGGCCGAGAAAAACUGGGCCGAGAAGAACCUGAUUCUUGAUAGCUCGGCGUGUCACCCACCAUGAAUAUUGCAAUCCCUUUUUCUGAAACAAUCACAUGUGGAUAGCUUGACCAAGUUUGGCCUGUCAUUCAGCCAUCCACUCAUCAACAUUAUUAUAUACAUAUAUAAAAACCAAGGCCAUAAAAAACAAAAUCAAAUCUUGGCUUAUUGGCCUAUUCAGUCUAACUUGGAAUGAUGUUGUUAGCCAUGCAUAUUUCUAUCACAUUUUAUUAUUUUCUGACUCCCAGCUCCACCAAAUAGUCUCUGCUAAGAGCAACUUCAGUGUGGGCUGGUGCUCGGGGGACGGGGGACAAAAUAGGGCCAGAUAGCCAGGCCUUGAAGCUCCAAUGUGGGUAGCCCGAGGGAGAGUGGAGGCUCGAGCUCCGCGCCUAUGAGGAAUUGCCAGCCCAAGAGCCCGAGUGGUUGUGAUGUCAUCCUAGCGCAAUGACAACAUUCUGAAGUAACUCCCUAAAACCAACUGUCUUAUUCUUCUUCCUCCUCUUUUGCUGCUACAUUUCAAUGGAAGACGAUAAUGAUGAUGAAUCACCAAUUAAAUCACUUGGCUUACAAAAGACCGAGACUAGGACUAAGCUGUGGAAGAGAGCAAUGCGCAGCUUGUGCAAGUCGACGGCUUCAACAUCGUCGUCGUCGGCGUAAUUGGGGAACCGGUGGGGUGAGAUGUUGCAGGUGGUGAAGAGGUCUCGGAGGUCGGAUGGGUGUACGUGAGAUGGGUUUGUGGAUAUAAAAUUGGGACCAUGGCUUGCAGGGGAAAUGGCGAUUUGAACUUUGAUGGUGUUUUUAUGGUUUUUUCCAUCUGGGUUUUACGUCUGAUGCUCACCCAUUUCAACUCCAUACUUUUGACGGACAUGGUGGCAGCCGCCGUAGCCACCACUGCACUGACCUCCAUUCUCUUUCUCUUUGCUUUUAUUCUGCGUCGAUAGUGGAAGAUAAUGGGUAUACGUAAUUGUCUUUUCGGGUAAUGACACGUUGCGCAACGAGAACGAUUAAAAAUCUGAUCGAAAUCUAUCCUCAAAGAUUCUGAAAAAGUAAGGACACGUGGCACGACGACAUUGGAUAAAAAUCUUAUCGAAAUCCAUCACCAAUAAUUGUCUUUUCGGAUAAUGACACGUGGCGCAACGAGAAUGAUUAAAAAUCUUAUCCGAAAUUACAAAUAAAAAAUUAUUAUGUAUUAUUUAAAAAAAAAUAUAUUUUAUUGCCUAUUGCCAGGGCUAUUCAAGUGCAACGGUGGAGAUACAAAAUGCAGUUACUAUUCAUUAAGGGCAGUUACUGUUCAUAGGGUGGAUUGAAUAGUGAAUAGCUUAGGGGAGGGCUCCCACGCUGGAGUUGCUCUAAACGCAUCGAAUAACAUCCUUGCUGAAGAAAUUCGAGGAAAACCAAAACAAGUGUCUCCAUUGAGAUUCAAGGCCGUGUAGACCUACCGAAUGAUAAAUCCAACUUCAUCGAAUUUUUUCCUGAUCAUUUUCGGCCUUUGAGAUCCAUCGCCCAACUUGCUUACUCUUAGCCUAAAUAGCCAAAAGUUUUUUUUUUUAGUAACCACAUGGUAGAUGCCAUACAAGUAAUAUAUGCUGCCACGUCCAUUUGCUCCUACCAUCGAGUUUUUGUACGAGGUUAGAAGGAUGUUCGCAAGGACUCUCUUGUGCACUCAAACCGUCAGUUCGAAAACUAAACCCAAUACUCGUACAUUCCCUGACCGCUGAGCACCUCCGAGUGACACCGAAAAAUAUAUGGUCGAGGAAAAAUGAGCAUCCACUGCCGAAUAAAAAUUUUACCAAAGCUCUACCGAAGAAGUCUAUCACCAAAGCUAUGGUUGAAGAAAUAUAUGGUCGAGGACAAAAUCCUCCUGUUGACUUGGGUGAUGCAAACCACCAAAUUGAUUUACGCCGACUUCGACCAAAGCUCAUAUAUGCUCUGAUAUUUGUAUAAAUAGGCCUCAUGCCCAACUUUACAACUUCCACUUAGAUAGCCUUUUACUGUAGACGUGCCAUGUUAUGGAAAAGACCCCAUGAUUUUACCACGAUAACCAGUGCCGAGCAACAGUUCAUGCUCGCCGAGCUCGGCAAAAAAAUUGGCAUAUAAGACCUUGAAUCUGCCAACGCCUAUAUGGCCGAAGUUUCAGGAGGUUACUUCGGCAAAAAGCUGGCAUAUAUAUGUGUGUGUGUAUAUAUAUAUUUGACAAUAAAAGUGGUCUUGUCUUGACUGAUCAACGGUGCCACAUGGGAUAUUCCUUGGCCCAGUAUAUAAGACCUAUAUAUCACCUGUUGUUGAUACGUAUUCUAACAUAACUUGGAAGCAAAUCAUGAUCCUCACGUCAAACAUGUCCAUAGGCUAAAGCUUGCUGCCUCUUUUGUCUUAAUCACAUCACAUCAUCAUAUUACUAUUUCACCUUUAUCCCAUGCAUGGAUUAAUUGCACGAAAUUAAGCCAGUAGUAGCUGUACUGCCGCAUGAGCCUGCCAUCACCCAUAUGCCGAAUAUCCCCAAUUAAUUUGAAUAGUAGGAUAGAGAUUUCUGCACUGAGCAUCAAUUUUACCAAGUAGCUAUUUAAUUCACUCAUUCUCGGCGAAAUAUUUUUUACCGUCGAAAUAUACCACAUGUGCCCCCUUUAUUUUCUUAAGCAUCGGCUUCUCGGCCUAAUGGUUAAGAAAAUAAUUUUUUCACCUUUUUUUUUUUUAGCAAAAUAAAAUGAAAACGGCUGAAUCAUAAUCAGGAGGAGGCCAGCGAUGCUUGAUUCCAAGCCGAGAUCUUUUAUAUCAAAAUUUCCACUUUGAGUUUUUCUAAGGCUGAAUAGAAUAACAUCUCCAAAUAUGUUUGGCUUAAUGAAAUAUUUUUUAUCAUCGGCCGCCGAAUGUGUUGAACAAUUAUUAUGCCCCCCAGGCAUAAUAAUUCUGCCAAUUUCUGUUUUUAACUCGAACAACUUAGCCGAACAAGAUUUCUCCAUAUCGGCUUUAUCACCAAUAAUCAUAUCGAUUGGCGUGGUUUUUCCGGCUAGGCCUAUGUCUCGGCCUUGUUUGUCAUUAGAGCACUCCUCUAACGAAUCAUUUUCUAAAUCGACUUUUGGCUCAUAAACUUGAACUCUUUCUUCUAGGCCUACCACACUUUCAGUCUCGACCGAGACAACAGGUGGCCUAGGUGUUUCUUCGGCUGUCUUGGCAAUUUCUUGUGGCCGAAUUUUUAUUAUGGCCAGAGCGAAAAAUUUCCCCCCAGUCUUUUGAUCCAACCAUUCUUCAAAUGGAAUUAAUUUGAACCUAGGACAAAAAGACGUUUUCUUAUCGAACCACUCAUCAAAUUGAGCUCUAUCUUCUUUUAACCAUUGAUCUUGUAAGCUGUGAUGAACCUUCACCUUUAUCAUUUGAGAGAAAGAUUUUUCCCUUUCUUCAUAUGCUUCAAUAAUCUGGUCAAGGUUUGUUAUACCUCUCGGCAUUUUCCUUUAAUAAGCGCCAAAUCUCACCCUCACUAAGAUCUUGAUAUAUCAUGUGAACUUCGUAGUUUUAGCAUUGUGUCCCACUGGGCGUGCCAAAAUGUUGACCCUAAAAACUACCAAGCCUACAUGGCACGCAGGCCGAGUAAUUAAAAAGCUAACUACAUCCUUCGGUUGUGUGCGGGGCGUGCCAACUCGUCGACCGAACUCAGCCAGGGAGUAAAAUGUGUUGAUGUUGCGUUGGGCGCGCUGCUGACUUCUUGAUCUUGCGACUACGGCCGAGGAAUGAACACGUCUCGGCCUUUGGGGUCCAGAGCCUGAAGACAAGGCUGCUAGUUCUGCGAAGUUCAAUAUCAAAUUUGGCCUUCAAAGUGCCAAAUGUAGUAACCUGUAACACCUCACUUCGUCGAGAAGGCUAAUGAGAUGACCUCUGCCAAUAAGGAUUCGAAAAUCCUUCUCGACCGAGACUUGGAUAGAUAAUCAGUCGGCCCCGACGCAAUGUUGUUUAUCCAAACUGAAGGUGUUCCGGGGUCGGCUGAUUCUAAGGCAACAUUGCUAUUUAUCCAAACUGAAGGUGUCACCGGUUGCCUUCACAAUGUUGUUUAUCCAAAUUGAAGAUUUGUUGGAGAAAAAGGAAAAUAAAAAUCUCAAGGUUAUUGAGAGGUUUCGCGUAGAAUGAGUUUGUGCAGGGCAGUUUGUGUGUUGAGUUGGAUGGGGCAUCACUUGUUGCAACGCACCUUGUAUUUAUAGCAUUUAUAUCUUCUACUAGGCACAACCAGAUAAUUUUGUAGAGUCCAACUACAACUCUAACUCGCGAAACUGAACUUGAUUCGCAUCAGAAACCAAGGCAUAUCCGUCAAAUUGAUAUGUGGGAUUUGUUUCUUGACUUUUCACACCUAAUAAAAGUUAGGCUUAUCACAUCUCAUAAGAAGCCUAGCCCACCUAGACUUCUUAUCAUCAAAACUCCAUCAGUAGCUUUUAAACCCAUCUGACAUCACCAUGCAAAAAGGCCUAUUCUACCUAGGUUCCUUAUCCCAUCAUUAUCCAAGACCAUGAUUUUAAGAUCAUCAAAUCCCAUAUGCUAAUCUCCACUCCAAGCUAUUUCAAUCUACACGUCCACUACCAGACAUCCAAAUCAAUUUGAACUGCACUGCUUGCUUCAUUAUCUGACGCCGUGCAUAUCCCAAUAUCCCACCAUCAUUUUAAUUGGGAUUUAGACAAAUAUUAGGUUUAAAUAAUUUAAUAUAUUACUAAGAGAUAAUAUAAUGAUUAAAAUCACAAUAUUAUUUCUCAGUCAUAACUAAAAAUCAUUUCAACCACUUUGUCAUUCAAUGGCCUAAAAUCCUGCUCAUUCAACGGCCUUGAUUACUCGGGCCGAUAGUGUAAAAUCGGGUCCAAACAGUUACUUAAUUAAGGCCUUCAAUCAAGUUCAAAGCAAUGCGUGUUCAUAUUCAUCAUCUGAGCCAGAAAAUUUUGUGACCAAGUUAAAGAAAGAGAGGGAGGGUUGAACCCGGGAUGCAGUGGAUUAAAAACGAAGACCUCAACCAACAUAAUAAUCCACUUGCAAUUCAAGGAUACAUUUGAAUGAUAUCAAAUUUGUUUAGUUUUUGACAAGAUUAUAUUUUGUCUACUCACAAAAGGAGUCAUUUAGUUCGGCGCUCCAAACACGCGGUUGUUUUGUCAAGACUCAUUGAAUGAGAUCACGAAGGAUGGAUGAGUGGAACCAGGAAGGGGGUGGGUGUUGGCCUGAAUAUUGGGUGUAGGCGUGGCUUGAAUAUUUUUGUGUCUUGGUCGUAAAGUGAGAUGGCAUGGUCUCACCAAUACCAAGAUUUUUCUGCUAGAAUACAUGGAUUCAAACAAAUGGACGAGACCACUGCUUUGGCCAACUGACCUAGUAUUCACGUCAUACAAUAUUUGAGUGGAAAAGUUUUCAAGUUCGAACCCUCCCUCCCUUCUUGAUAAAAAGGGAAAGUAUUCGAGUAAAAAUGAUUGAACACCAUUAUAAUCUGUUCAAAUGGAUUUUAGUGCCCAAGGAAAGAAAAGGACUGAAGUUCACAACUCAUUUUGUUCAUUCUUGAACAAGAGGAAAGUCCACCAGAAAAGUGUUCAUCAUUGCAUAUAUAUAUAUUUCACUUCGGGCUGCAGCAUAAUCAUCUGUGAAGAUUAUUUUGGUAGACAUUGUGGCUUUCUUCUUGUCUGCAAAUCACUUUCUUAUAAAUAUGCAUAUUAGCUCGUUAUAAUCACAAAACAAAAAUUUAUACACAUUGGUCAAACUAUAAUUUGUCUGUCAGGAGAGACGACUCUUCUAAACUAAGCACUACAGUGAAACCUCAAUUUUUUUUAAUUUUCUGACGUCUUUCAUGUUUCAUGUUGUGUAAUUAAUAUGCAGAUUUUAACUAUAUGCCCACCACCUCCACUCAUCGAGCCACAGAUCCACAAGGGGUGGUUCAGAUGGAAACUUUUCCUUGAAAGUUGGACAAAUGGAUCACAGGUCAUAGGAGUUACCCAAAUGGUGUAAAACAUCAUUCAUUUAAUCAGUUGUGCCUUUGUUUUGUGGUUGUGGAGGGAUCCAAAGUCCAUAUCCAUGUACCUCCUCAAAUUCAAUUGGGGUGGGAUAACUUUAGUCAAAGUGUCAACUAGGUCAUUGGUCUUGUGACUUUUGAAAUUUAAAAUUCCUCCAAAAUUAAAAGUGGAAAUGAGCAGGAUAAAAAGUGGAGAGAAAAAAAAAAGAAAGAGAGAAAUUAGCAAUUGAUUGCAUGCAAAAAUUAAAGGAGCAAAAAAUGGCAAUGAUUUCCAAAGUAGGGACUUUAAUCUAAGAGCAUCAUUACACUACACUACAUGGUGUAUAAUCAUCAAACCACCAUUACAAAUUACAAAACUCUGAUGAAGAUUAACCUACCUACCUCAGAAAUUCCAUUUGCUAUUUUACAAACUACAUAACAUACCCCCCCUUUUCUCUCUCUCUCUCUCUCUCUCUCUCUCUCUCUCUCUCUCUCUACAGCACCAGGAAAACCACACAAAACAGAGCCAAUUCCAUUUGAGCAGCAAAUAACCCCGCCAGCGCCUGCAACCCACAAUCCAAAAGAACCCAAUCAAUAGUUUCCAAAAAAAAAAAAAAAAAAAAAGAAACCAAUCAACAUCCCAUCAAUAUUCAAAAGUAACAAAAAGUAGAAAAAAAAAUUUACAUACACUGAUACAUAUACAGUUUUCAUGUAUAUUAAUAAUAACUUAUGCUUUGUAGCCAUGCUUUACUAAUCACUAUUUUCUUAUGUGCUAUUUUUUUUUACACAAACGAAAUUAUUCUAAGCUACACUAAAGAAAUGAUGAAGAGUUUGAAUUCGGAACAAUGGAUUAAAAAAUGAACCACUCAUCAAAGCAAUCCACCAAUUGCACGCCGAGGUUCAUUUUAUUAAUUUUUUUUAUUUUUUUUGAAGAAAUGAACACAUUUUAAUGCUUCAGUUGAUGAAGAAGUAAUAAGUAAUAACCAACUACAUGAUGCAAAUUGAAUGUUUGAGCAUGUAACCAAAAACUAAAAUAAUCAACAAUGGAAAUGGUUACCUGUCUCUGGUGGCCAGAGGUUGGUACAGGGCGUAUUGUGGUUGAAUCCACUUCACCAGUGGGCAAAGGAACAGCAGGAUUACUGUUAAUGAAUGGGAUUCCACCGCCGCCGCCUCCUUUAUCUGUCACUGAAGAGCUUACGCUUGGUUGUGGGCUGGGAGCUAAUGCCACUUGGCGAGGAUGGAAUGGCCAUGGGAAUACUGGAGAUGAUGAAACUCCACCACCACCAGAUUUCGGUGUUGGGGCCACGGUUGGAGGAAGCUGCGGAGAGAUUCUUGAACUUGAACCGGAACUCUGCGGCGGCGGUGCGGAGGAGGAGGAGACUGUUAUGGCCAGCUUCUGGGUGUUUUGGCAUGUUUUGAGCAGAGAGCCAUUGUUGAAGGCAAAGUAGAAGAAACCAGUGCGUGAUGGGUGCCACUUUGCAAUGUAACAAGAAAAAUUUCAGUCAGAAAGCUCAGAUCUUUGAGAAAAUCAUGACUUACCCAGAUGAAAAUUACUAGUUUUGAAGCUAAUAUACUGAAAACCCAGGUUCGAACACACAUUUAAUCGAGCUAAUUCUCAAGAAUCCCACAGAAAAACAGAGCCAUUUUAGAGAGAGAGAGAGACAGAGAGAGAUACCGUGAAGGAGGUGGAGUCAGGUUUGCUGAGAAGAGUGGCUUGAGUGAAAUUGCAGAGAUCGAAGGCUCUUUGGUUCUGGAAAAUGUAGAGGUUGUACUGAUACGUGUGCUUGAAAACUGAAAAAUGCUCAAGAAAAUAUUGAAUCAAAAACAAAGAAAAUAAAGUUGUUGAAUUUGUUUGGUUUUUGACAAAUGCAAAGUACUUACUGACGGAGUCUCCUACAUGAACAGUUGGGUUUUUCCACUCUGAAACUCCAUCAACUAGUAUUGUCGUGGAGUGAGAAUGCUGGAAGAGUAAAGCGAGCAAGCACAGCACGAUGAGCAUGGAGAACUUCAUGGAGAGCUUCUCUUUUGAAAUUUUUUGUCACCACAAAGUAUAAAGAUGGUUUAUUAAGAUUAGACACAGGUUCCAGUCCUUUGUGGCCUUGCCCUUUAUCUAUUUAUUUGUCUAAUAUAAACGGCUUCACUUAUAUGGUAUUCUGAUUCAAUAAUAUAAUGAUGGUUAUAUGUAUAUCUUUGUAUGAUAAUAUAUUAUUCAAUCGGGAUAAUAUCGUGACAGUGAACUUGUUUCAUGUAAGUUGCUCUAUUUUUAGCUGUUUCAACCAUGCUAUUUUGGAUCAAUAAUUUGAGACCACGUUUUUUUAACUUUCUCACAUAUCACUUUAUCAUUAAUAAAAAAUGUGAUAAUAUUAGGGAGUAGAUUCAUUCUUUGAGCCAUUGGAAAGAUUUUUCAUGUGCCGGCAACACGGCCUUAUAUACCAAGUAUUAUAAUACAACUGAUUAGAUACUUACAAAAAAGAAUUUCCAAUUAUUUGUAUUAUAACACUUAGGGGUGGUUCGGUAUGGGAUCCCAAAUCGAAAAUGGUAUUCUGAAUUCCAACUGAAAAUUUUCAAGACAGGAAUUUGAACACCAAUCUCGAAUCGAAAUUUCGGUAUUCCCAAAUUUCGGGAUUCGCGAUAUGUUUUUAGUAUUUUGGGAUUGGAUUUUUGGUUUUGGGCUUAUGGGUUGAAAUUUGAGAUUUUUGAGGUAUGAAAUUUGGGCCUUUGGCCUAAUUUUUUUUUUCCAAUUUCAUAUCAAUUGAAAUUUAAGCUUUUAUCUCAUACAAAUUUGAAAUUUCAUACCAAUCAAAAGACCAUUUCAUUCGUAACAAGUCAAACUGAUGUUUCAAAGUUCCAAACUACUUAAAUUUCAUACUUCUAUCCCUAAUAUAAUUUAAGAAAAACUAAUGAAAAAAGCUUGAAAACUUUGAGUUUUAACGAUAAGUACAAAAUAAAGGGUAAAAUGAAUAGUAUCAUGAUUGACUUUCUAGUGUAAAAAUAUGGUUUUUCGUUAAAGUAAAUAGUACCGUAGGCUUUUCGUUAGAACAUUCAACAUGCAACAACCAAAAUAAAUAUAUAUAUUUUUUCAGUUCGGUUCAGGAUUCCCAAACCAUUGAAUAUGUAAUCAUGAUUCCUGUACCGAAAAAUUUGGGAUCAGUUCGGUAUGGAUCCCAAAAAUUUCAGUAUUAUCAAUUUGAAAAUUUUUCGAUAUGGAUCGAGAUUUUUUUUAGUUUGGUUUAGGAUUUUCAGGAUAAAUUUCUAGCCCUAAUAACACUUAUAUCAAGUUAUAUUUCUGACAUACUUAAAAGUUUCUCGGGCAUAGACAAAGGAGGAGUGUUUUUAAAAACUGUUGAAAGAGGAGAGUAAGUGUAAGCACGGAGGCUGGUAAAAUGUCGGUAGUGGUUUGCUUUUUCCAUAUGAAGAGUUUGAAUGGAUGACAGACAUAAAUACGGUCUCAUUAUUUUUCACAGUAAAAGGUUGAAUCAUUUUGUUGGUAUAAAAAACCCUUUUAAAGAAUAAAGAUUUAAAGAAAAGGAAAAAGAGAGGAUUAAAAAAAAAAAAAAAGAGUGAGAAAGAGAAGGGGUCUUUUGGGUGGCUCUGAUGGUUAAUGAUGGAGAUUAUUAUUCUAAAAUGAUUAGCUCUUUGAUUAUGAACCUGCAGUCUGUAUUUUUUCAAUCCAAAUAAAUUAAUGUCUUGGGAGGUGGAGGACUGCAAAUCACUUUCUUUUAGGAUUUUUCUUUUAAUUUCCUUUUUAUUCAAUCCAUAAAUAAUGUAAUUAGCUCAUACUUUGAUGCAUAAAAUAAUUUUAAGGGAAUAAAAUCUUUAAAGCUCUUUCUUUUCUUUUAAUAUUUGAUCUUUUCUGGUAAACAUAUUGCUUGCUGCCAUGUUUUCCAUGUUGCAAAGGCAAAUGGAAAGCAACUUCUCCUUACCAGUUAUAAGGAACUUUAUAGGUUUGUUGAACUCAAAAUUUCAUCAAACACCCCCUAUAGCCUUGAUGAAAUUUAUAUUUUGGUAUCAGGAGAAACUACUUAGAUGUCAGUGGAAGGAAUUCUCCACGUAACGUAGGUCUGUUAGUGUUCUUGUUUGUUCUUCGACAUUGCAAUAAAGUGGUGUAUCUAAUAGCAGUUUAUGUCUUUAAAGAAAAAUGUGUGUUUCAAUGGGAUACUUGGGAGCCAAUUUGGCUCUUCAAAUCAUUAUUGCUUCAACUGCUUUGAUUUUUUACUUCCUCCCUUCGUAGAUAUGAAGAAAGAGGUAUUGUUCGAACCAAAUUUGCGAAAAUCAUGAUCUCACAGCAUUCAUCAUCCAUGCAUGAAAAAUGUUGGUCACAUAUAAUGAAGAGAUUUUUCAGUGUGAUCGAAACAUGAGGUGGUACACUACGUGUCACUAUACAAAUAGUGGAAUAUGUGUGUUAAAAAGUUUAUAACUUAAAAAAUACAAUUUUCCAUCACUUAUAUAAAAACACAUGAUGUACUAUCCGGGUUCUGGUUAAUAGGAAAAAUUUAUCCAUAUAAUGCAAGUGCAAGUGCAUAAAAAGAAGGGAAGUGGCGUGGAGGCAGAGAGCAGAGAGCAGAGAGCAAGCAUGGCCGGCAUCAUAUGCAGCAAAAGGAACCUUAAAUUUGAUCUGUAUUUGUCGAUGAGGUCUGUGGGCCAACUCCUACUUUAUAUACGCCGAAAACAUAAAGAUAACAAAAGCACUUGGCAGGGAACUAAAAGACAAACACUAGAGUAAAAAGGACUUUGAAUGGAUAAAAGAGAGAAAUACAUGUAAGUUAAAAAGAGAAAUUAUUAGGAAUCUGUACUUGAUUUUACGAUAGUUUAAUAUUAAAAAUAUGAAAUGAUUAAAAUAUUUUUAGAGAUGAGAAUGUUGACUUUGAUUGAUGGUCGUGUCGUGACGCGUAUGACUCAUUCAUUUGACGUAUUCUAAGAGUACUCGACGUUACGAACUCGUGGACGCAAGCGGAAUCGAAGACAUAUCUAAAGGUAAUUGAAUCUAAAUAAAGUAAUGUAGGAAGAAAAAAAAUCAAAGGAAAGAAAAACAUAAAAUAAAUAAAUAAAAUAGAAAAUGAUACAACGGGUACUUCGCUACCGAUUGUACGUGGAAACAGUCGCUAGAGAGGUAGUGAACACACCCCGUAGAAAUCGCUAGCGAGAUAGUGACUAUACAAAAAAUCAGUCGCUAGUAUCAUACCAAUCCUCCAUUUUCAAUUAUUUUUCUUUUUUAUUUAUUUAUUUUUGUUAAUAUUUAUUUAUUUUAUUUCUCUUACUAUAACAACAAACUUUUAUAUUCAUAUUCUUCAAAAUAUAUUUUUCUGUGAAAAAUCCAUUAUAAUUCAUUUUAAACACUUGUAAUCAACGAUUUAAAACCUAAAUUUAAAGAUAUUUGAAUUUAAUAGUGAUUACUCAAAUAAAGUAAAUAAAUUGGAAUAGGGAAAGACAAAUACCACGGUAUUGAUUCUCGCCCAGACGUACUUAAAUUGUUCUAUCUAUUUAUUUUCACCUUCGCCUCACCGUAAAGUUUUAAAAAUUAAGGUAAGAUUUUCCGUUGAUAUUCUUAAGGGUAGAACCCCAUUUGAUAAUGUUUUGGGUCUCACUAUUGUAUUUUUCACUUAUUUUUUUAGUUUUCGGCUUAAAUAUUCUACUAAAUAUACAUUUGUUGCUCAAUAAGUUGUAAAACCACUUCCAAAUGUCUUAUAAAGUUUUCUUUAAUGCUCAUGGAAAAUAUUUCGCAAUAAAUUGUAAAACCGCUUCCAAAUUCAUACAUAAAGUAUCGUUCAAUCUAUUUAUUUUCACCUUUGCCUCAACGUGAAGUUUUGAAAUUAAUGUAAGACUUUCCAUUGAUAUUCUUGAGGGUGGAACCCCUUUUUUCACAAUGUUUUGGGCCUCACUACCACAUUUUUCACUUAUUCUUUUAGUUUUCGGCUUAAUAAUACAUUUAUUGCUCAAUAAAUCCUAAAACCGAUUCCAAAUGCCUUAUAAAGUUUUCUUUAACGCUCAUGGAAAAUAUUUCGCGAAAAAAAAAUUUGCACUUUCACAAAAAAACAUGGAUUAACAGUCACGAUUUGUAGUUGGUUUUGCAAAUUCAUAUAUAAAUCAUCGUUCGAUUUAUUUAUUUUCACCUUCGCCUCAUCGUGAAAUUUUGAAAAUUAAGGUAAAACUUUCCAUUGAGAUUCUUGAGGGUAGAACCCCCUUUUUUACUAAGUUUUGGGCCUCGCUACUAUAUUUUUCACUUAAUAUUUUAGUUUUUUUUUUCGGCUUAAAUGUACAUUUGUUGCUCAAUAAACCAUGACACUGAUUUCAAAUGGCAUUUGAGUUUUCUUAAUGCUCACGGAAAAUAUUUCACAAAAAUAAAAAAGUUUGCAUUUUUAACAAAAAUCGUGGGUGUUAGAUAGGCUCGAUGUACACAAAACAAGGCAGGUCUAAUACACAACGAGACGGGCUCCACUCACAGAAAAUGACACAGGCUUCUGGCACGCAAAACAAGACGAGGAGCACAGAACGAGACGAGAAUCGCACAAAUCGAGAUGCCUUAGGAAGUAUGAAACAAAUUAAGUGGUUCAGUUUUACACACUUUCAACUGAGCCAUCUUCAAUGACAUGAUCGACUUAAAAAGAUGAAAGGAAAAACAUUUCCUCUGUUUAGAUAUACACCAAGGUUUUGUUUAUAUCUUCCUAUCAAUUGCAUUGAGUACACUUUUCAAUUUUUUCUUUCUUACCAAGGAGGUUGUCAUUCUCCUUUUCGAAGUAAGAGACCAAUUUUUAUGAUACACUAUGAGAGCAAUGAAUUAUAAUGCCAAAAAUUUAGUGCUAAUCCAUGGGUUGACUAAACAUUUUCAAGAGCUUAUGGGUUCAAAUAUAAUUUCCCACUGAAAAAUUCUGGAGCAAAUCAAUGCAUGACACAGCAAAAUUUAUUAGUCGGAUGCGUGUUCAAGAAUUCAAGAGAAUCUAGCAAGUGGAUGUGAUUCACUUAAAAGGCAAUCUUGAUGUAUGUAGAGAUACUCCUGUCUGUAUACGAAUAGGAGGCCAUAAAAUGAUGAACUAAUGAACAAAGAUAUUUCCGCUAUGUUUCUCCUAAAAAACACGAACAAGGAUAUUAAUGAACUUACAUCGAUGAAACACGAAAUCAGUACUACUAAUCAAUUUCUAAUUUACUUCUAUAAUUCUGAAUUACAACAGAAAUACAUGCAUAUAAAUCGAUAUUCGCUAGCAAGAAACUAUAAUGCAAGGUCAUCUUUAUAUAAACAUAACACUGAAGAUCAAUCUUCAUAUAUUUCCGGAAAGGUGUCAUAAGCCAUCUAAACAUAAUAAGCUAAUUCUGGAUCCUGAUCCUCUACUUCACCCUCAAAUCAAUAAUCGGGGGAAAAGAGGCUUUCAUCACCUCUUAACUACAUACUUAAUAAGGCUCUCUACUUCUAUCUCCCUCAUUGACGCCAUCUUUUCCUAAUUAAGUCAUGACCUUCGUGACUUGGGUUGCAAUCUCUCUCAAAAAACAAACCACGAUCCACGGUAGCUCUUAAAAAUGAUAAUAUCAUUUGGUCUAAUUAUCUACUUCUGACAAUCAGAUUCCAAGUCGAAUAUUUCCAUACUUUUUCCUCCUAGGUCUUGACACGAUCUUGGUUUCCACGUCACACAUCAAGCAUAUACAAUCUUACCACUGCAAUGAGCGAACUCUCCGGAGCACAUGGGGUGGUCUUCGCUUCUCCACAACCGGAAUGAUGUUUUCCAUUAGCUGCAACAAAAAUACACAAGGUCAAAUGGAUAAUAGCAAACAACUAUUACAACCACCGUCCCUCAUCUUCCAAAAUCCUAUUCCUCUGGAUAAAAUGUUCAACUAACGUCGCUCAUGGGCCAAACUGAAAUGAAAAAUCAUCAAUUACCAGAAGUUUCAAAACGGGCAACUGUAUUAUUUUCUUCCUUAUACAUGGAAGUCUAUAGUAACUUGUUUUCUUGUCUAAUUACAUUACCACAUGCAAAUAUAAAUGGAAGUCUAUACUUAGACUUCUAAUGAAGGCCAUUCUUUGUUAUUAUAACAUAUUGAUUGUCUUGACUACAGCGAACCCAAAGCUUAAAUUAAAUAGAGGACCACAACCGUAUACUUUUAGGAGAGAAAUGUUCCUUUUUGUAAUCAUAUUUAUCAUUGUGAAACUUUCCUAUUUCUUCCCUCGUGGAAGUAGGCAAAGACCCAACCAUGCAUAUUAUUUGCAUGUUGUUCUGUCAAGCAUGAAAAUCCAUCCCCUCAAAGGUUGGAGAUAUGCUUGGCUAAGGUAAACUGCUAGGCAAUAAGUACACUAAACAUAAUUCCAAUUGAUACGUUUAUAUUUAAGUUAACAAAGUCUAUGCCAGUUAUCAAAUUAUAAAAUGAAACAAAUUUGUAACAACUGGUGUAUGCAAAAGUUCUGAGUUAUAUACAUCAAAAUAAUUUUUUUUUAAUAAUUUAUAUGCAUCAAAACAAUGUUUAACCUUACACAAUGCACUCAUGCUAUAUCUGCCUGAAUCAUGUACUGCCUGCUAGAUAGUGCUUAAAUUGUACUCUACAUUCAUGAGACUUUGCAUUUGGAUUAUCAUGAUUCCAAAUAUCAUUAAUAUUUUUGUUUCUGUUUGUUUACUGGGAGGAGGGUGGAUAUUCUUGUAGAAUGUAAAGAAUUUAGACUGUACAUUAAAAAAAAACGUAACUAGGGGUCAAGUUUUUUAUUUUGGGAAUGACAGAUGAUUAUAUACAGAUUAAGAAAUUCAGAAUAUACAAAAGUCACAGAUGUCGAGCGUUGAGAGGCCAUAUAAACUCCAUUAAUAUUUCAAGAUAAACCAACGCCUCCACUAGGGAGACAUGAAAAAUUUUUAUAUCUAAAAUCUAAACAUGCCACAUCUAUGGCUGCAAGGUAUAAUAAACAAUAAGGGUCAUUACUGUAGACAUCUAGCUUUCUUUACCUCUUCAGGCAUAAGUACGAAAUAAUGGAGAUGAUACUUAUUUGGGUGCACUGGAGAAAAAUUUGUAUAAUUUUCCAUGUAAUUUUCUAUAAUAUCUGCCUCAUAUUGUAUUUUUCACUUCAUCAAAUUUGUUGUUUCUUAUCCAAAAAGAAGAUCACCAUAUGCCAACAACCAAGUUCCUAAUAAAAUACAAUCCCUUGCAGAAUCAAUUAACUACAUGCACCAGGAAUGAAAUGAAUACCUGCUUAAGUCUUCCCUGAGUCUGCUCAGCCUGCAAUUAAAAAAUAAAAUUGUUACAAAAUAGAAUAUAAAAAAAAUGUUAAGGCAACCAAGGAGAGCAAGUAAAACACACACGUCUCAAUUUGGUGGCAUGUUUAGAUAUUACUACAGUUAGUCACUUUUUUGGGCUUGGGAAUCUGUUUGCCCGACUGGUUAGGCCCCUGGCACUAUUUGUGGUACUUAGUGAAGGCUUUGCAGUUUGUUCUUAAUAAAGUUCCUUCUUUCAGAAGAAAAACAGGUUAAAUGCAGAGAAAAAAGUGCGAGGUCUUAACAUCAACUUGAAAACCAAAACACCAAAAUUAGAUAACUUUAAAAGAAAAUGAUUUAGCUCCUACGCACACUCAUGAACCAAGCAUCAUGCACAAAUACAAGAAAUCCAAACCCAUCCUCAUUUUAAACCAAUACGCAGACCAAAAAAAGGGGCAACUGAACCAACCAGCCAAUUAUUAAAUGUUCAAAUUGGUUUGUCUGAUCUUUUACAAGCUCAAACUUAUAAAACAAGCCAAAAAUCUUGUUCGCAACUGGCUAAUUAAGUUUCCAAGGAAGCUUGAACAUGUUAAAAAACAGACAGGCUUGAUUAUCUGUCUCCUGGGUUAAGAAAAUAUUUAAAAUUUCAUACGAUAUAACGGAUUGAACUCAUUUGCCGGACUUGAACUCAUGUUAUAAUGGAUUGAACAUGUUAAAUGACGUAGUCAAGUACUUAAAUCAUUUAUCUCUACACUUUGCAAACAAAACAUUAAAGUAUACACUUCAGUGGUUUCGUAUGCAUGUAUUCAUAUACACUACAUGAAUAUGUACAUAUAUUCAUAAGAUUUAUAUAAAAAUAUUCUAAUUUAUAAUCCUUAGUAUUCAUGAAGCUUGGUCAUGAAACAUUACUUCAGCUUGGGUUAACUAUCAGGCUAACUAACUAAUCAAGCCAAGCCCGACAGGUUUGUUCAUUUACAGCGCUGCUGACAAUGAUAAUGAAAGUCUUCAAUGGGAUGAAACAAAGCAAAGUAACAAUAUUUGGUUAAAGUAUGACUACAUACUGCUUUAUACACAAUAGAAGUGGAAUUUCAUCACAGCAUACGAACACAGUAGUCAGACAAGUCAAAUCAAAUUGGUGACCGUUUGGAGUUGCAUAUUUGUAAUUGACAAAACGUCUGCAACCUCAGCAAAAUGAGACAUGUGAAAGGAAAAGUCGUUUUGUUGGAAAAUUUAACAAAGUAACAAACUGUCAUAACUAUACCGAAUGCUGAUUGCGACUCAAACACAGCUCAAUUUGGCCCCAAACUCUAAUGCUACCAAAGUACUGAACUUCUACUACCAUUUCAUAGUGGAAAAGCGCAUUUCUCACCGCAAUUCGGUGGCCAACUACAGUCUAAAGCACAUUAGAUUCAUAAUUCGAUUACCUGUUCUUUCAAAAGCUGCUCGUUUUCCUCCUCUAACCGGACUGCCAAUGACUCCAAUUCAUCUUGAUAAGCCUAAAAUCCAAAAACCCCACAAUCAGAAAAGUACAAAUAAGCAUGAAAAAACAAACAAAAGAAAUAUCACAUACACCAUUUCAUCAAAAACCCAAUUCCACACCUGCUUUCUCUCUCUGGACCUGGCCGCCGAUUCCCGGUUCUUGAUCAUCCUUUUCUGUCUCUGCUGCGACGCCUUAUCCAUCGGCUCCAUAACGGCGCGCCCCCUCUUCCGUCUCCCCACUCCUCCUCCACUCCCAGCAGGGUCCGCCACAUUUCCAAACCCAACAAUCGACCCUUCAACCUUAUCAAUCGACCCGAACGGGCUGAGCGGGAUCUGAUCAAAGGAAAAUACUCCGCUGCUCAAUCUCUCCGUCUCGGGCGGCGGCGGCGCAAGCGGAAAAUCCUUAAUGUCGUUCUCUUCCACGGCCCCGGCCCUAGCCAAAAAGUCCUCCAGAGUCAUCAUCUCAUCGGGAACCUCCUCUUUACACUCCUUCCGACAUUCGCCGGACACAAUUUCCCGCCAAACUUCGUCAACAGUUUUCGGCGGCGGCGGCGCAGUGGAGCUAUUAAUUUCUGCGGAGGAGUCGAGUAGGGUAAUUUGAGCGUUGAGGAGGGUGGCGUCGGUCAUAGGGGUGGGGUUGGAGUCGUAGAGGAGACCGUCAACGGUUAUGGAGCCGAUUGGAAAGGCCAGCGUCGUACUAGUGUUGCUGUUCUGGUAGUUGUUUAGGGAUUGGGGGUGCGCAGAGGAGGAAGACGGGUGUGCAGUGGUGGUGGUGGGCUGGGGCUUUGUAGCGGGGGAGAAAUUGGAAGAAGGGCGUCGGGAGAGAUCCGAGUUUCGUGAUCUCGACGACGACGACGACGACAUUAGCUUCGACGACGCCAUCUCUUCCGUCGCUGAUUUCUCAGGCCCCUCGGACUGUCCGCUAUCUUUCUCUCUCUAGAAUCACUCUCUCUCUCUCUCUCUCUCUAGAAUUGGAACUUUUAGGGUUCUGAUCCGGUGUUUUGUUGGGAUCAGGCCCCGCACCGAAGCUCAGUGAGAAGAACCCCUUUCAACGAGCGAAGCGAAGCAGUUUGUCACAUCCCAGAACCUUUUUUGGUGCGGAUAUUUUGGUGGGACCAAGUAUUUAAUACAAACCGAGAACCGAGAUUAUGAUUUGCAAGGGUUCGUGGGUCCCGGUGGGACUUACGUAGGCCCCACAGAAUAGCGCAAUCGGACUGGCGGUUGUAGGGGAUAUGUGUGUGGUCGCGUGGUAGAUGAGUUUAGCCGGAUGCCUGGAGUAUGGUUGUUGACCCGGCCACAGUCAGGGAUUGCUAUCGUCACGGACGGCAGGGACGGCUGUGAUGCAAGGUUGUGUGGUGUCGUGAGCAGAUUGGUGAGUUGAAUUGCACAUAUUCGUCCAGCGUGGCAUGCGGACUGAUCUGUGGGCUGGAGGAGAGAGGUUUAACUUCAAUUCUCAGGCUGGGAGGGGUCAAUGAAGCAAAUUUGGCCCAGGCCCAAUUAUGAAAUUUUUUUCCUAUUCUAAUAGCUCGUUUACUGAUUUGUAAUUAGAAUUGAAGGAAUUAAAGUGAGAAGGAAUUAAAUUGACGAGGUGUUGGAAGCUGGUGGAGAAAUCAGACUGGUGUUUACCACCUAUCAAAUUUAUUAACUUGAUCGUCGAAGAGUUUUUAACUAAUACCACACUUUUGCCUAGACCUUUUUACGAUAUUUACUGUCUUGCAGGUUAUGCAUGAGUCGAACCAUCGUCUUUUGGCAACGAGCAGAUUUUGGUUCAACAAUUGGUAUUUUUAUUCAGAGAACUUCCGCUCUCCCGUUGAAUGAGUGUCUAACACCAUGAAUGCUGAUGGAGGCUUUUAUCCAACCCUGCAGCAAGAAACAUUGCAAGCAAUCCCGUGAAUGUUCUGGAUUGUUUGCGGUGCUUCUAUCUUUGUCAAUAAAAACAAAGGAAGAAAAGAAAAAAAAAAGAGAAAGUUAAUAGUUAUAAACUUGUACGCAAUAACUAAGCAUAUAUAUGGGGGACAAAUGCCAAACCAAGUGCAUGAGAUAUGCAUGAUCCCCUCCAUCACAUAUUGUUCAGCUAUCCACGUUAAUUCAUCACGCUCUCUCUCUCUCUUUUAUCUCUUCAUUAUUAACCUGUAAACUGCUGUACCAGAUGUCAUCAAAUUAAUAACUCCACGUGAUCCACGUUUUAUUAAAUUACAUUGUAAGCCACAUGAUGCGGUGAUAAAUUAAGACUUCAUGAUUUAAUUUUUUUUUUUAAAAAGACUAAUUAUCAACUACCGUAUCAUGUAGUUUAUAAAAUAAGAUUUGAAAAAAUCAUCUCUCUAGUAUUACCCUAUGCGUUUAUGAGAUGCAUAUCUUUUAAAUCACAAAAGCAAUAUUAGUUAGCGGCGUUCGUUCUAUCUUGUACAAUAAUCGACAGAUUUCAGGUUUGCCUGCCGACCUACCUUGAUGAAGCCUCAACUCCCCCGUUCAAUUGAAUCACAACCUACUCGUAUUAUGUCAGCUCAAUGCAUUUUUCCCCUCCAUGUUUGUUUUAAUAUCUUGGGAGCAGCCUCUCCAUAAAUAGGGGUAAGGCUAGCCGACAUUUCCCUCUCCCAAACCCUGCGUAAAGCGGGAGCCUUGUGCACUGGGUACGACCUAUGUUUGUUUUAAUAUCGGUUAUGCCCCUUAUACCACACUAGAAGUUCCUCCGGCCAAAUUUUUUACACGUAUAUUUUUGGCAUUUGAUGUUUGGACAAAUACUUUUGGCAUCAUUAACCAUCCAUUUUUUAAUAUGCUCUUCUCUCCUGCGAGGGUUUCAACCAUUUCAGGUGCUUAAUGGCUAAUGCUGUAAUGCAUGGUUUUUUUUUUGCUAGUUGAGAUAAGAGAUAAACAAGCUGCACAAAUAUAGGGUCUUUAUUGGUUUCAAAUUAAUGGAUCAGGAAUGCUAGAUCUCUCUCUAGGGUUUUUUGAGAUUUCGAGAUUUUGUAGAAAUGUAAGUUUGCAGGGAAAAUGUUUCUGUGAAAGCGAUGGCUUUCAUUCAUUGCUUUCACAUAUAUAUAGUACAGACUUUACAGUCCUAUGGAAAUAAUGAAACAACUAUACUUACUAAUCAACAUUUACAUUUGAAUUGGAUGAUAAGAAACGGAACUAAGUGAUAGAAUUCACUUUUGACUUGGACUCUUGGUUAAUAGCUUUCAAGCUUUUUUUUUUAUUUAUUUUUUAUUUAUUUAUAGUUGAGCGAUAGCUUUAGUAGGUUACUAGUUCAUUAUUAAGAGAAAGGAGAAUCGGUGGAGAUCAAAUCCGCAUCAAAAUGCAUAAACCUGAAUGCUUUUCACCACUGUGGUAAAUCGCAAACUUCAAGCAAUUCUUGUUUUUACAGUAUAAGGACAAUUUGUCUUUCAAGAAAAAAAAAAUCUUCGUAAAAUUGGUUAAACAUAGUUGAUGUUAAAGUACUCCCAAAAACAUCGACCAAAGUAUGUAAAAGGCUACCAAACAGGCUUUAUUGUUUUCUUCCACGGUACGAGGCAAAGUAUUAGUAUUUGGAAUAUGAAACCAAAUUUAUUGUCGAGUAAUUAACGAACCAUCUUACAAUUAGUGGCUCUCAUAUACAGGAGUUUCUUGAGGACUAUGAUUUCUCAAUAACUAAUUAAUUAGGUACAUACAUCUACGUACCAUAAAUUUCUAUAACAUAGGUAUUACUAAAUUGAUCCUAAAGUCAGAUAGAGAUAAUGCUUCCAUUAAAAUAAAAACGGUCAAAAGAUUAGUUUAAAUAGUGCAAUUUUUUUUCUUAAAUAAAGGGGAACAAUAUUCACCUCUUUCAAGCUUGGAGAGGCUAUUGGGAAUUUCACCCUGUCCGUGGCCACAAUCAAGCAAACUCACCAGCUUAGAGCAUUGAACCCGAGACCUCGCACAUUUUUUUGUUUAUUGGGGAGCCGCAAUCCAUGCCCUUACUACUGAGCCACAUGUUAUGGUUAAAUAUUGCAAAUUUUUAGUUGAAAGAAGAAGAUAAAUGCCAAGACUCUCAAAGUGGGACUAUGUACUCUCUGACAUCUCACAGUUUAACAUUAAUUUUCAUACUAAUAUUACAAAAUAUGUGUAAAAAAACAUUAAGUGGUAGAGAAUCUUAAAAAGUCACAUUUUUUUAAAAGUCUCCUUAGCAUUUCUCUCGUAAGAAUUUAUAUACGAAAGAAAAAAGCAUCGAUUGUAGAUGACGAAAAUGUGACAAUGAUGGAUUGCUAAUGAUUUUGGGAUUUGGUAGUUUCAUGCGUGGCUCAAAACAUAAAAAGCAUAGCAAGACAUCGACGAUUGAGUUUAAAGUUUGGCGAUAGCCCAUGCAAACAUCAAAGAGGUGCCUUUAUUAUUAGUUAUCCACGUAAACCUUCCGACCUGAAUUUGUUUAUAUAUAGUUAACUAAAACUCUAUAUAUAUAUCUGAGAAUAUUCAUCAAUCUUAAAGGGUUCAAUGGUAAUUUUCAUGCCCUAAAUCGAGGGGUUGCGAUGUUUUGUGCUUGUAGGCUUCGAUCAGACUCCUUGAUACUCCUCUAGGUUAAGAAAGAGACGGUGUAAGUAAUCAUAUAAAGUUUUAUAUAUAGCUGUAUGUAAGAAGAAAAUGUACAUAAAGACAAUAAAGAGGGGCCAAAGGAGGAUUUUCAGAUGCAAAAAAGGUCCUGAAGAGGGAAAGGCUCUUCAGCAAAUUUAGCAUUUGAAGCUUGCAAACAAAUUGGAGAAGUUCUCUCUCUCUCUCUCUCUCUCUCUCUCUCUCUCUCUCUCUCUCAUAUGAGAUUACAGCGUGAACUACAAUCCUUAAACAGACUUUUAGAGGCUUUAUUAAAGCAAAGAUAUAUGAACAAACUAAUUAGCUAGAAAGUUGAAUAGCUACCUCAUUCAUUGUUCUUUCUUACAAGGUUCGUAUAUAGUGGGGUUAUGAGUUCGACAUCAUUUAUAGAUCUCUCCUUUAAAAUUUGGGAGCUACCUCGUCCUCGUAGCCUACAUAAGAUCGACAUCGACUUUGUUCUUCUAAAUUAAAGAUCGACCAAAAGAUGUGGGCAAAACUUAGAGCUUCUUCAAAUAUUGCAAAGGGUAUGUAUAUCUUCUAUCUCUUUUUUCCCUUUAUAUAUAUAUAUAUAUGUAUGUAUGUACGUAUGUAUUUUCUUUUUUUUGUGUUCUAUGCCAUAUUACUCUAAGCUCUGGGUUAACAGAUCUAAAAGAGAGAACUCUAUAGCAUGUGGUUUGCCAUGUUGCCUGUUGGAUUUUUUGAAUGUGAAAACUAACUGGUUACCAAGUUUUGAGAACAAUAUGUACCUAUCUUGUAUCUAUAUAUGUUGGGAAAGAAAUAAGACAUCAACUUGAAGUUUUAGCAGAAAGAGGAAAGUGGUCUUUCUAGGGUUCUCUUGUUACCAUCAUGCUCAAUUAUUGCUACACUCGUCAUGAUAAAUCUCUUCUGAGAAAUACACUGCAUGAUAGGUUGGUAGCACUUUGAAUCUUUCGCAAGCAUAAGAUGGUCUUCAUAUAUAUGGAUUACCAAUUUUGGAUUAUCGUUUUCAGGGAAAGAAGUGAUAAGGCAAGUUCGUAAAAGCUUCAAUCUAAACGAGGAGUACCUAAGUGCAUUUAGAACCAAAUCCUAUGCAGACUUCUUCAACAAAGCUCAGUUGCUUGUAAACGAGUCAUCAUCAUCUCCUUUGAAUUACAACCAUGAUCACAAAUUGACAGAAGUCCUCCUAGAACCUGGUCAAGAAGCCAUACCAGAUAUCCUUGACUCGGCAAUUCUUUCGAAGGAACCUAAAUUGAAGGGCCUUAUGCUCAACUACUUUGACAUAAGUGCUGAAGCCUCAAAAAUAUGCAGCCACCUCUUAAAAAGCAUCAACCAUGUCCAAUCCAGUUACCACUUUGUUCAACAAGAACUUGAUAAAUUUGAAGAAUACUCACCGGACAAAAUCAAAUCCAUUAUUUCGGAGCUAAACUUGCUCAUACUUCAAAACAACAUUAACCCUUUUUCAAACCCUAAUAACCAUGACUUUGAGCUCAUUCAUGAAAAGUACUCGUCGGUUUUGCACCACCUAAAGUCGAUGAGGAAAAAGGUGUCGCGGAAGAUUAAGCGCAUUAAAUGUUUCAAAAAGGCCACUGGGAUUUGCAUAACAGCAGCUUGUAGUUUGAUUGCUAUAACCGCUAUUGUUUUAGCAGCACAUACUCUCACUGCCUUGCUCAUGGGGCCAGCUCUCAUCAGCUUCCCAUUUAAAAGCUUCAAGAAAAAACCGCGUAGCAUUCCAUUUUUGAGAAGUAGGAUUCUUACCAAAGUUGGAGAACAACUUGAUGUGGCAGCCAAAGGGAUUUAUAUUUUGAAUAGGGAUUUCGACACGAUGAGCCGACUUGUGGCAAGGCUUCAUGAUGAGGUUGAACACAACAAGGCGAUGAUCCGGUUCUGCUUGGAGAGGAGAGAGGAUAAGUUUUCUUUGCAGGUUGUGAAGGAGCUUAAGAAAACUGAUGUUGGAUUCAGGAAGCAAGUGGAAGAGCUUCAAGAGCAUGUGUAUUUGUGUCUUGUAACAAUCAAUCGAGCUAGAGCUUUGGUGGUCAAGGAGAUGACAAAAUCUUGUGCAGAAAAUUGAUUUAGAAGUUAAGGAUGGUACGUAGCCAUUUAAAAGGCCUUGUACAGUAUAAUACUUCAUGUUCUGUAAAUUAUAUACGACCACACACGAUUUGUAUAAUGACCGAGAAUCUAUAAGAUUUAUAUGGAAAAAAAAAUGUUCAUUAUAUAUAUUGGGUAUUCAUUCCUUUUUUAGUUCACCUAUCAUUGGCUUUUAAAAAGAGAUUUUAGUAACUUUCUCCCUUGGACCUUCUUGAUGAUUGAACCCAUCUAGUUUCUAAGUCACCUGUUGAUGCACAAAAUCAGUGAUGACUUUGGUACAACAGAAAGUGUUAAGUUUGUGACCUUCGCUAGAUUGCUCCGGUCACUAGUGUGGAUAAAUAUGUAAAUGGAUAGAGACAGGGAAGCAAACACAAGAUGUACGUGGUUCACCUAGAUUGGCUACGUCCACGGAGUAGAGGAGUUCUCAUUAAUUGUGAAGGGUUUACACAAGUACAUAGGUUCAAGCUCUCAUUUAGUGAGUACUAGUGAAUGAUUUAGUACAAAUGACAUUAGGAAAUAUUGUGAAAGAAUGAUCUCUAUUUAUAGAAGAGGGUUUCUAGUUUCAUUCUGACAUUGACACAUGUCGUGUUGUGAUUGGCUUCUGAUGUUGACACGUGUCGCGCUAUGAUUGGCUUCUGAUGUCAACACGUGUCGCACUAUGAUUGGCCUCCUGGUUGGAAGGAAACUCUUCUGGGUCCUUGACGGUAUAACGUUGACCGAUGCUCAGUAGUUUCGGGAUUGGUCAAGUAUGGUACAAACAGUGCUCCCCUAAGUUCCCGAGUGAGGGAAGCUCCUUGGUUGGGGACUUGCAAGAUCCAAGCCAUUGAGUAAUCACGAAACUUCUAAGUACCGAAGUGUGGUAUCAUUUUCACUUGCCUUAUGUGUCUCAUACGUAGAUGUGGCAUUUUCUCUGUAAGUACUUUUCCUCCAUCCAGGGGUGGUAUCUUUAACCGAUGAAGAUGCACAAGGUAAUGUAUCAAUUUCACUUGAAGCUUACUUGUAGUUUCAGGCUUGGUCAAGUGCGAUACAAAACCCUAUAGUAGGAGUCCCCCAAGUCGCCGAGCUAGGAGAUUUUCCGAAAGAGGUAACAGACAAGGUAAGCAAUCAGACUUCCAAGCAAACAACCUGGAUUGGAGGUUCGACUUCGGCUUCCGGUUGAUUGUUCUCCUUCUCCUUGUGUCGUAAACAGCAACAAGGAUAAGGAUAAUCAAAUGAAGAAGAGAUGAUAUGAGAUACUUUUGCUUUUGAAGAAGUAACUUUCCACAUGCUUAUUCUUGAAUUGGGCUUGAGGGUUUUCUGGUUUCCUCCAGAGUAUAAGGCCGACUCAAGAAUUUGAGGGUCAAAACAAGUCCAUUAAAUCAAGAGUGCGUUCGACCUUGAUGAUAUGUGAUACUUUUGCUGUUGACGAAGUAAUAGAUGAAUCGACAUAUGUUUUGUUGCGCUUGUCUCCACAUGCUUCCUUGUAUCUUUCUCACUUAGCCUAUCCGUUCCUCAGGCAGAUGUGGUGUCUUUUCUGGAAGCAUAAAAUGUUAAAGAUGAGUACUCGAGAGCAAUAUCAGGUAAGUAAUCAGGCAAUGGGUUCCAGGCAGUCAGUUUCUGACUGGAAGCUUGAUUCCAAGUGCUGACUGAUUGCUCUCUUUCUCCUUGUCUUGUAGGUAAGAACAAGGACAAAGGAAAAGACAGGGAAAAAGCAUGAUAUGGGAUACUCUUACUUUUAACCCUGAUGAUAUGAGAUACUCUUGCUCUUGUGUGGCUGGUUUGCAUAUGUAUUAUUGGGGGAAAGAAAGCUGAGUAUUUCGAGAGGCUUCGUUAGAGUGCCCUCUCAGAUAUGAGGAAGGGUUGAGCAUUUUUGCAGGUCUGUCGGUCCGUGGAGGAUGGAGGUUGACAUAUAUAGGAGUCUCCCUAACAACAAGUAAUAAUGCUAUUCCUUUACCCAUCUUGGUCGUAAUAAUGUAGUGGGAGCUGCAAGCUUCACAUGUUUUAACUUUGUUAGAGCACUUUGAAAAAGUGGUAUGUGGUAUCUGGAAAGCUGAUGUUGUGUGUGAAGAUUGCAGACAAGCUUUAUCCAAGGAAAUCUGGUUCUCGAAGUUCGGAGAGCGAUGCCUCUUCGGUUUUCGAACAAGCAAUCCUGUCGGGGAUCUUGCUCUCGAGAUUCGGAGAGCGGUGCCUCUUCGAUUUUUGAGAAAGCAAUCCUGUUGGGAGUCUGGCUCUUGAGAUUCGGAGAGCGAUGCCUCUUCAAUUUUUGAGAAAGUAAUCCUAUUGGGAGUUUGGCUCUCGAGAUUCGGAGUGCGGUGCCUUUUCGAUUUUUAAGCAAGUAAUAAUGCUAUUCCUUUACCUUUCUUGGUCAUAGCAAUGUAGUGAGAGCUGCAAGCUUCACAUGUUUUAACUUUGUCAGAGCGCUUUGAAAAAGUGGUCUGUGGAAUCAGAAAGCUGAUGUUGCAUGUGAAGAUUGCAGACAAGCUUUAUCCAAGGAAAUCUGGCUCUCGAAGUUCGAAGAGCGGUGCCUCUUCGGUUUUCGAACAAGCAAUCCUGUCGAAGAUCUGGCUCUCGAGAUUCAGAGAACAGUGCCUCUUUGAUUUUUGAGAAAGCAAUCAUGUUGGAAGUCUGACUCUUGAGAUUCAGAGAGCAGUGUCUCUUCGAUUUUUGAGCUAGCAAUCUUGUUGGGAGUGUUUUCUUGAAUGUGAGUAAAGGUUGGGCAUUUUUGCCAGUCUGCCUUGCCACGGAGCACGGAGGUUGACACAUUGGGACUUUCUAGUUAUCAAGCAGUAGUGUUGUUCCUUUACCCUUGUGGGUAAUAAUAAGGUAGUUGGACCUUCAAAAUUUAUGUGUCUAAACUUUGUCAGAGAUAUUUGGCAAAGUUAUUUGUGGUACACGAGGAGCUGAUGUUGUGUGUGGAAAGUGGUGCCUCUUCGAAAUCCGGAGAGUGGUGCCUCUUCGAUUUUUGAACCAACGGCCCUGUUGUCAUUUCUUUUAUAAGGGCACCAAUUGUGUGCAAGGAGUACAUUCAGAGAGUUAUUGCUUGUAGGAAUUUUUCCCUUACUUCAGAGAUUUAUUGCACCUCAUCAUUUAUGAGAAUGUCUGGCCCAUCCGACCGUCGUUUUGACUUGAACUUUGGUGAAGAGGCAGCCAUACCUUCUCAAGACAACAUAUGGCGCCCAUCAUUCUUAUCCCCUACUGGUCCUCUUAUAGUUGGGGACUUUGUGAUAAAGAAUGAUAUGACUGCUGCGGUGAUGGCCACGAACCUUCUUACUCCUAAAGAUAACAGACUACUUUUCAAGCGGUCUGAUGAGUUAGCUGUUAAGGAUUCUCUGGCUCUUAGUGUUUAGUGUGCAGGUUUUGUGUCUAAUAUGGCCCAACGCCUAUUUGCUCGAACCCGCCAAGUUGAAUCAUUGGCGGCUGAAGUGAUAAGUCUCAAACAGGAGAUCAGAGGGCUCAAGCAUGAGAAUAAACAGUUGCACAGGCUCGCACAUGACUAUGCUACAAACAUGAAGAGGAAUCUCGACCAGCUGCAGGAAUCUAAUGUUCAGAUUUUACUUGAUCAUCAGAGGUUUGUGGGUUUGUUCUAAAGACAUUUAUUGCCUUCGUUUUCUGAGGCUGUACCGCGUAAUGAAGCUCUAAAUGAUCAACCUUUGGUGCCUCCUCAUUCUGGGGUUCUGCCUAGUACUGAGGCUCCGAAUAAUCACCCUCUGGUGCCUCCUCUUUCUGAGGCUCUGCCGACUGUUAAGACUUCUCCUGAGCAACCUUUGUGAAGGCUUUCUCUUGUUUAUUUAUUUUGAUUCAUGAAUAUGUACAUAUUUGUAACUUAUCGGAGGUAUCAAUAAACGAUUUGCUUCAUUUCAACGUAUUGUGUUAAAUACACCAAGGGCUUCUUCACUAAGUUCUUUGAAUUUUUCCUUUUGUUGAAGCUUGUAUGUUGAAGUUUUGUGAGUGAAGCAUGUAGGUUGAGGUAGUGCUCCCUUAAUUUCCCGAGUGAGGAAAACUUCUCGUUUGGAGACUUGAAAAAUCCAAGUCACUGAGUGGUCGUGAGACUUCCGAGUAUCACGGUGCAGUAGCAUAUGGUAGGAGUCGCCCAAGUCUCCGAUCGAGGGAGUUAACGAAUGAGGCAUUUCCUUUCUAAGUGGUAGCCCAAAACUCCUUCUUCAUAUAUAUUUGUUAUGAAAGUUAUUAGGACCAAAGAAGAGGAGGCCUAGGCAAUUUUUUUUUCUUCGAAUUUUCGAAUUUUUAAAUUUCCGAAUUUUUGAAUUUUCGAAUUUUUGAAUUUUUGAAUUUUUGAAUUUCCGAAAAUAUAUAUAUAUAUAUAUAUAUAUAUAUAUUUUAAAGCUUUGUAGGUGAAGCUUUGAGGUUGAAGCUUUGUUGGGCACCAUGAAUUGAUUUUGCUUCACACUAUCUUAAUCAAGAUAGUGUGAAGCUUUUGUGUUGAAGCUUUUGUGGGUGAAGCUUUUGUGGGUGAAACUUUUGUAGGUGAAACUUUUGUAGGUGAAGCUUUUGUGGGUGAAGUUUUUGUAGGUCAAGCGUUUGUGGGUCAAGCUUUUAUGGGUGAAGCUUUUGUGGGUCAAGCUUUUGUGGGUCAAGCUUUUGUAGGUGAAGCUUUUGUGUUGAAGCUUUUGUGGGUGAAGUUUUUGUGUUGAAGCUUUUGUAGGUGAAGCUUUGGAGUUGAAGCUUUGUAGGUGAAGCUUUGGAGUUGAAGCUUUUGUUGGGUACCAUGAAUUGAUUUUUCUUCACACUAUCUUGAUCAAGAUAGUAUGAAGCUUUUGAGAAUUUGUAGUUAUCCUCCAUUGAUGAAGCUUUUGUUGGUGAAGCUUUGGAGUUAAAGUUUUGUAGGUGAAGCUUUGGAGUUGAAGCUUUGGAGUUGAAGCUUUGUAGGUGAAGCUUUGGAGUUGAAGCUUUUAUUGGGUACCAUGAAUUGAUUUUGCUUCACACUAUCUUGAUCAAGAUAGUGUGAAGCUUUUGAGAAUUUGUAGUUGUCUUCCAUUGAUAAAGCUUUGUUGAAUUUCCCAUUUUUUUUUUUGGGAAACUAGAAAUUUGAAAAUGUGGGAGAGACAACUUAUACAAAUUUUGCUUCCACACUGUUGAGUAAGAGAUUGUGAUACAAGCCACACCUUGUAGUAGUCGAAGGUUUGGAUGAACCAUAUAAAUUGAAUUUGCUUUGAAGGUCUGAGAAUUGUAGUUGCCCUCCAUUGAUGAAGCUUUUGUUGACACCAUAAAUUGGUUUUGCUUUACACUGUCUUGAUCAAAAGUGUGAAGCUUUUGAGAAUUGUGGUUGAACUCCUUUGAUGAAGCUUUUGUUGGCACCAUAAAUUGGUUUUGCUUCACACUGUCUUGAUUAAAAGUGUCUUAAGCUUUUGAGAAUUGUGGUUGCCCUCCAUUGAUGAAGCUCUUGUUGACACUAUAAAUUGGUUUUGUUUCACACUGUCUUGAUCAAGAAUGUGUGAAGCUUUUGAGAAUUGUGGUUGAACUCUUUUGAUGAAACUCUUGUUGGCACCAUAAAUUCGUUUUGCUUCACACUGUCUUGAUCAAGAGUGUGUGAAGCUUUUGAGAAUUAUGGUUGCCCUUUAUUGAUGAAGCUCUUGUUGGCACCAUAAAUUGGUUUUGCUUCACACUGUCUUGAUCAAGAGUGUGUGAAGCUUUUGAGAAUUGUGGUUGAACUCCUUUGAUGAAGCUCUUGUUGGCACCAUAAAUUUGUUUUGCUUCACACUAUCUUGAUCAAGAGAGUAUGAAUCUUUUGAGAAUUGUGGUUGCCUUCCAUUGAUGAAGCUCUUGUUGGCACCAUAAAUUGGUUUUGCUUCACACUGUCUUGAUCAAGAGUGUGUGAAGCUUUUGAGAAUUGUGGUCGCCCUUUAUUGAUGAAGCUCUUGUUGGCACCAUAAAUUGGUUUUGCUUCACACUGUCUUGAUUAAGAGUGUGUGAAGCUUUUGAGAAUUGUGGUUGCCAUCCAUUGAUAAAGCUCUUGUUGGCACCAUAAAUUGGUUUUGCUUCACACUGUCUUGAUCAAGAGUGUGUGAAGCUUUUGAGAAUUGUGGUUGCCUUCUAUUGAUGAAGCUCUUGUUGGCACCAUAAAUUGGUUUUGCUUCACACUGUCUUGAUCAAGAGUGUGUGAAGCUUUAUACGAGUUGUAGUGUUUGCAUUGUUACAGAGGGGAAAUGUCUGAAACAUAUGCAAGAGGGCUGAAUAGCUUGAUCUUCGUAUGCCAUGCAUUGAAGUUGUUGUUGGCUUGCAAUAAGACUUUAUUGGUGACUAUAACUCUUGUUGGGCAUAAGUGUUCCCCUAGUUGAGUCGUCAAGCUUGAGGGUGUUUUGAUUAUUUGUGAAUGCUAGGAGUUCAUAUGUACAAGUUGUACCACUCGUCUUCUGGUAGGUGGAAUGAAUGGUGAGUUGCUUUCAUCACUUGGUUGAUGGUACGAAGGUGAGUUCCUUCUUCCCUUGGUUGGUGGCAUGAAUGGCAAGUUGUCAAAUGAUAUUAGAGUACGGAUUGUGCAUUUCAUCACCUGGUUUGUGGCAUGAAGAAGAGUACAGAUUGUACAUUUCAUCACCUGGUUGGUGGCACGAAGAUGAGUUCUUUCUUUACUUGGUUGGUGGUAUGAGUGGCAAGUUGCCAAAUGAUAUUAGAGUAUGGGUUGUACAUUUCAUCACCUGGUUGAUGGCAUGAAGGAGAGUACGGGUUGUACAUUUUAUCACCUGAUUGGUGGCAUGAAUGGCAAGUUGCCAAAUGAUAUUAGAGUACGGGUUGUACAUUUCAUCAUCGGGUUGGUGGCAUGAAGAUGAGUUCCUUCUUCACCUGGUUGGUGGCAUGAGUGGCAAGUUGCCAAAUGAUAUUAGAGUACGGGUUGUACAUUUCAUCAUUUGGUUGGUGGUAUGAAGAUGAGUUUCUUCUUCACCUGGUUGGUGGCAUGAGUGGCAAGUUGCCAAAUGAUAUUAGAGUAUGGGUUAUACAUUUUAUCACCUGGUUGGUGGCAUGAAGGAGAGUACAAGUUGUACAUUUCAUCACCUGGUUGGUGGCAUGAAGAUGAGUUCUUUCUUCACAUUUCAUCACCUGGUUGGUGAGAAUAAGGGCAAAGUGUCUAGGCACACUGUAGCAAGUGUCGAAUGACACAAAAUAUGUUGAACCAUUUCAAAGCACAAUUGGCUUAUGUAUGAAUGUGUUGAAAUGUAUGAUUGAACGAAUAUACUGUGAAGCUGUUCGUUUAUUUAUAUAGUCUUGUUGACAUAUACUUAGACUUUGUUUCAUGUUAGAAGCAUUCAUGUUGAAGCUUUGAACCCGAGUGUUUCAUUGCUAAGAAUGUAAGAGGAUUAGGAUCGAGUUGUCUAAAUCACCUCUUUAUUGAAUUCAUGCCAAAUAGUCUUCGUUACAUAGGAUGCCGAACGACUGAAGCUUAACACUUGUACAAUGUGAGUUUACUUGUAAUAGUACUUCAAGUGAUCAACGUUCCAUGGAUAGCCAAGGGUCUUGCCAUCAGAGCUUUUAAGCUUGUAGGAGCCAGGGCGACUGAUGCCAACAACUUCAAACGGUCCAUCCCAGUUUGGACUAAGUGUUCCUUCACUCGGGACUUUGUCGCAGAGUAAUCUUUUCUUCAAUACUCAGUCCCCCACUUUGAAAAAACAAGGUUUGACCCUUGAGUCAUAGUAGUUGGAGAUGCGCUGCUUGUAGGUGACAUUCCUUAAGUGAACCUGGUUUCUGUGUUCCUCGACUAGAUCUAAGUUGAGGGUAAGUUGUUUUUCAUUUUCGCUUUGCACGUAGUUCUAGACUCAGAACGUUGCUUGCUCAAGCUCAACUGGGACAACUGCCUCUGUACCAAAAACAAGUGAGAAUGAGGUUUCUCCUGUUGAUGUCCGAUACGAAGUGCGGUAUGACCAAAGAACUUGGGAUACAAAUGCUGGCCAACAACCUUUAGCCUUGUCCAAGCUGGUUUUCAAAGUUCACAUGAUAUUGAUCGAAGCCCCCGUGUUUACCAGGAUUCGUCGUACUUCAAAGUUGGCUAUAUGAGCUUCCACGAUCAGUAGGUCGUUGUGAGGGUAAAUAAUACCUCUUUCUUCCUCAGGGUAGAAACAUAUUGGAUCCCAGUUAGGCUUUUGAUACUUACCUCCCCUGAUGUCUUCCACGUGAAACACUUGGUGGCCAGACCUUAAAGCUCAUUCACUAUUUUUCGUGGCCCUGUUGGAAGAUUUAGAUAUGGGUGUGCCACCACUUAUGGAAUAUAUCACAUUUACCUGGCGUUGGUUACGGUUACCCCUUGAAGGGUGAAGAAGGAAUUAAUCAAUUUUUUCUUCACGUGCCAAAGCUUCAAUAUGAUCACGAAGGGUGAUACACUUCUCACCAUUAUGGCCGUUAUGCUCGUGGUAGCAGCAAAACGUGCCCGUGUUCUUCAUGGGCUUGUAAUCCAGGUGCCUCGGCUUUAGCUUCGGUAUCAAGUGUGCUAUGCUGGGGUAAAUGGCCAUGCAUGUGGCGUUCAAAGGUGUGUAUGCCUUAUACCUUGGGGUAGGGGCUGUCCUGACACAUGCUUGACCCACUGUGUUGACUGCUUGGGGUCGGGGAUUAUCAUGGCGAUACCCUUGGUUAUCACGGUAGUGUCCCUUACUCCUUUUACUAAAAUGAGACUGGUGAGGAUGGAAAUCUUUCCUUUUACCCUGAGAUUGAUAUGUCUGUUAACUUGGCAAAAUAUUAAGUAAGGCAGGGGGAGGCACCGCUACCGUUUGGAAGGUCGAGGUUUUCUCAUUUGGUUGGAUUUGGCUUCCACUUCCUACUUGCUGAUAAGGGGUGGUUGUGGGGGGUUUCCCUUGAUAUGUCCUUACCUCGGCAGAGGCAUGGUUGUAAGCAUGUGCCAUCACCUCAGAGUAAGUCUUCCAAGUGUUGGCAUUGAUCAUGUACUUGAAGAAACAAUCACGUAGGUCUGCCGUGAAGGCCUUGAGAGCAGUCUUGUCAUCUGCCUCAGCGCAGCGAGAAUACUUAUGGCUAAAACGACCAACAUACUCUUAUAGUGACUCGUCCAGUUUCUGGCGAAUAGUGUACAAGUCAUCCGCAGAAUGCAAGCGAUCGGUUUGGAAGAUGUGUUGAGAGAAAAACAGUUUCCUCAGUUCUUCAAAUGAGUCUACUGUCUCAGGUGGAAGACGACAAUACCAGUUUAGAGCUCCGUCAGAGAGGGUGGAGGGGAAGAGAAGACAUCGUUCUUCGUCGGUGUGCAUCCGAUAUGCCAUGGUGGACUCAAAGAGGUUAAUGUGUUUAAUUGGGUCCUCCCUUCCAGUAUAGAGUUGUAAACCAAGCUUUUGUUUUGUCUUCGCUUGAAUGGGGUGUCAAGGAUCCUCCUUGUAAGAGGGCCAGGCCUGGGUUGGUUCUAGUCAGGUAUCUCGGCCUGACGUUCGGCCUUCAACUUGUUUACUUCCUUAAGGUGCUGUAGGACAAAGGGGGUCUUGAGUGGAGUCAUGUACCACUAGGAUUUUCUUUCGUAAAUCUCCAUUGCCUCUUGGAAGUAAGAAAGUUUGAGUAAGGGCGUGUGAUUUUUCCUUGGACUAGUCAUACUGACUUCUAGGGCGAGUCUGUCGGAAUACCUCAGAGUCCCCUGUACCUUCAUGUUCCUCUAGGACAUGUCGUUCCUUCCCUAGAUUGGCAGUUAGUCUGGGUCGUGGAAGGGGACCGAGUCUUUUAGAAACCCUUGGGUCAUUGAUCUUCGAGCAUAUAUGGAGGGGAUUCUCUUGACGUUGCUUUAGGAAGUCUCGGCAAUCACGAUAAACGACUUUCGAUCCUUCCAACCUUUCUGCAAGGAGGUGUCUUCCUCCACUUCUCCUGCUUCGGGUCGAAGCAGCUGGGUUGAGAGAAGUCUCAUGUUGAUCAAUGUUUUGAUGAUUAGCUUGCUCCUCAUCAGGGAUUCCCAUGUCGAAGGAAGGUGACCCUCCGUGUUGGGGGGCACCUAGAUGAUGAUUGAUGUCUACAGGGGCAACAAGCUUGCGUGUUUGAGUACGCAUAGUUUCGUAGAGCGUCUCAAAGAGCUUUUCAUACUGCUCCUAGAGGACCUCAUUCUUCAUUGCUAUCUUGUUAUUUUGAGCUUUUAACUCAUUGACUUUAGCUUGAAGAACAACCCUCUUUCCUUCCUUCUUUCGUUGCUUCGCACUAGGUGCAAAAUGGUGUCAUUCUGUGUGUUAUGGCUUCCUUCGCUCCUCAUGUUGGAGAGGGAUACCUGGUCAAAAGAGAGUGUACUAAUGGUGGAAACCAGCUUGACAAAGCUGAAGAGAGUGAGAAUAAGUGUCAUUCCCACAGACGGUGCCAAAUGUUGAUGCACAAAAUCAGUGAGGACUUUGGUACAAUAGAAAAUGUUAAGUUUGUGACCUUCGCUAGAUUGCUCUGGUCACUAGUGUGGAUAAGUAUGUAAAUGGAUAGAGACAGGGAAGCAAACACAAGAUGUACGUGGUUCACCUAGAUUGGCUACGUCCAUGGAGUAGAGGAGUUCUCAUUAAUUGUGAAGGGUUUACACAAGUACAUAGGUUCAAGCUUUCCUUUAGUGAGUACUAGUAAAUGAUUUAGUACAAAUGACAUUAGGAAAUAUUGUGAGAGAAUAAUCUCUAUUUAUAGAAGAGAGUUUCUAGUUUCAUUCUGACAUUGACACAUGUCGUGUUGUGAUUGGCUUCUGAUGUUGACACGUGUCGCGCUAUGAUUGGCUUCUGAUGUCGACACGUGUCGCGCUGUGAUUGGCCUCCUGGUUGGAGGGAAACUCUUCUGGGUCCUUGACGGUAUAACGUUGACCGGUGCUCAGUAAUUUCGGGAUUGUUCAAGUAUGGUACAAACAUCACCCGUUAACGAUGAACUUUGAGAAAAAAAAACCAAAUUAGAAAUCAUUUAAUUUGUUGAUUAACAUUGUCAAAAUUUAUGUGAGAGAUUAAUUUCAUAAGCACUACUCGCACCUUAUAGAUUUUUAAUCACAAGCACUAGGCGCGACUUACAAAUUUAUAUUGAUAUUUUUAUUUGCCAAUGUACUUUCACUAUGCACAAAGUUGAAAUAACAAUCAAAUAAAAAGUCUAAAAUUAUAGAAAUUCGCAAGUAAUGCUUAUCAAGCGUGAUUAAGGUCAAAUCAAACUUUAAAGAGUCAAAUUGAGUUUCAAAUUCAACGAAAAUAAAAUAAAAUCGCAAAAUAGAAAAUACGUCAAUAAAUAGUGAAAUUCAGAAAUGGUAUUUCACACUUGCGGUCACUUUAUCUAGCAGUAGAGAUGAUCGUAGUUUUUUUGCUAAGCUUUUUUUUUUUUUUGGCCAAAUGAUAGAUUUUAUUAGAUUAGAUAUUAGAUUAGUCACUGACAGGGGUUUGAACCCACACUGUCAUGCAAGAGCUCAACAUCUUUCCACCACUGUGGUAAAAUGCCACUUGCAGUUUUUUUGCUGAGUUGGUGUGGAGUAUUUGGACAACGAUGUGUGAGAGGAUUCCUACGGUAAGAAGCUAACAAGCCAUGCUAUUAGAAAGUGGGCGGAAUGCCCUAUUUUUGAAUUUCAGGUGGUACCAAAUCAAUGCAUCAAGGCAGGGACGUUCUUUAGAGGAGUUGAGAUGGCUUCAUCCCCCAGUGGGUUAUUCAAAGUAAAUGUUGAUGGAGCGUUCAUGGUUUCGAUUUUUUGACAACAUAAUUGUUGGCAGGAAGGGAAGGAUUCGUAUUUGCAAAUUGCAUAUGACGCUCAUGCUAUUACGUUGAAACUUCAUGCUAAAGGGGUUGUGGACUUGAUCUCUUGAUAUGGAUAACCGUAUUUUAGAGGAGAUUGAUGAUUUGAAGAGUAGGUUAAGUCGUUUUUUUUAUAUCGAUGGCAAACACGUGAAGGCAACAUGGUGACUCAUGAAUUAGUGAAAUAUGGACUAGCAAUGGAGUUUUUAAUACAUGAAUGGAGGAGGAACCACUUUGGUUCCUGAAAAGUGAGUUGAAGAAUUAUAAUUGAUUGAGCAAAAUGGUGAGGCGCUCUUUUGCAGAGCCUCCUCUUGCUUCGAUAAGCUCUUUGUACUUUUGUUUAUGCAGCAAUUAAAAGCUCAGUUUUUAUACAAAAAAGAAUUACUUGAGUUUUUUGUGAUAAAUUUCACAUAUGAUGUAUUGUAGGUGGUAAGGUCCAAAGUUGGACACCAUAUCAAUGUGAUUAAAUAAUGAGUUACUAAUUUAUCCCUCUAAAAUUUUAGCAUGGUAUUAGAGUAACUCCAGCAUUGCAAAGGCCUCCUAGGGCAACUCACUAUUGAAUCCAGCAGUGAAUAAUAACUGCCUUUAAUAAACAGUAACUGCUUUUUGCAUCUCCACCCCUAACUUGAAUAGUCAUGAUAAUAAGCAAUAAAAUAUUAGUAUUUUUUUUCACCCAAUCCAUACAUCCCCAUCACCCUUUCCUCUUUUCCCCUCAUUUGACCGGUUCUUCCUCUCUCUCUUUUCUUUCUAUCUCUCUCUUCCUUUUUUCUUUCUUUCUCUCCCUUUUUUCCAGCUCACUCUCGUGAGCUCUCUUCCUCUUCCUCUUCAAACCUUCAACAAAUCAAGCUCAAAAAUAAUAUUUGGAAUCCUUGGAACUCAAGGAACCCAACCAUGGCCUUGCAUGCGACAUCGGUGCAUGGUGUGAGGUCCUACCAUUGAAGCCGAGAGCUUGAGGUCUUAAUCUCGAACCCAGGUGAUGUUUUUAUCACUAUCUUGUGUGCUUGAGCUUUAAAUCUUGUUGUGUUGCAAUUCUUAUGGUUUAAUUGGAGGGCUUAAUUCCCUGAAUGCAUCCCAUUCUUUUUCCAAAUUCCGACAAAGGAAAACGGACGAAUUCGAGCCAGAUCACCCUGAGGUCAACCACACAUCACAUAGCCAUUAGGCUCUCGGGCGAUGGAUUCCCGCCUAGCUUGUCCACUGGGCCUGAGCUCCAUUGCCCGCAUAGGCUAGAGCCAAUUGCUGGGGCCAUUGGGUGAUUGGAAUCGCAGGUCCAUCGGGCUACAGAGCACACUGGAAUUGCUCUUAAAAUGGCUUAUUGAUAGGGCUCAAUUCAUGACGCCUCUAAAUAAAAUAAAAAAGAGAGUAGGCGUCACUAGACAAAACAAUCUAUAACAACCCGUUUCUAUCUGUUUCAAUCAAUGGUAAGGUUGUGAAACUAAUCCAAUGUAAUGGCUACACUAUCUAACAUGUAUAAUCAUUAAAUAAUAAUAUGAUGAAUGGGCAUUGAAGUGGUUGGUUAAAAGCAAUAUUCUCACUGUCACACCUUCUCAAUCGGUCCAUUUUAGUGAACAAAAUGUCAUUAUCUUUUUGGUCGCAUUUGUUUUGUCUCUCUCAGGUUAGACAUCAAACGGUAGUGUUCUCUUAUCCUUGUUCAGUUCAAAUUAAAUGUCCUUUUAGUUUCUUGUUUUCAGUUGUGUUUUUUUUUAUUAGGUGAGAAAUUAAAUGACGAGUUUGAUAUUAAAUUAGUAUAAAAAGUUAAUUAUGCGACAAUAACCCAAUAUCAUAUCCUGUCGAGGGUACUAUGAUUAAAUACUCUAUAGCCCUUGAUAAUCAACUCCCCUGAGGUGUCCAGACUGUUGGUUUGGUUGAGUAAUUCUGGUAUUAAAAAAAAAAAUAAAGUGCUUACCUUUCCCAUUAAAAGUAAAAGGCAAAAUAAUGAUUUAGAAGUAUGCGAUAAAUAUAGGGAAAUAUUAUUUGGCGUUUAAGAUUUUAAUUAUGUUUUUUUUUUAUAAGAAUUUUUAUUUUUUAAAUAAAGAGCAUUUAAAUUGCAUGAUUAAUUUUUUUGGAAUGUCAAUCAAUUUCUUAAAUAUAUAUAGGACUAAUUAUAUUUUACACUAUUGAAGAUGAUUUCUAAAAUCGGUCACAAGAUUCUAACUUUUUUCACAUUACACCCUCAAAUUCUGAAGCACCAAAAAUUUGACCAGUAGUCGGUUCGAAGUACAACACUGUCUCAUAUUAUAUGUCCAAGUUCCAUUGAAAUCCAGACAGAGAGAAGCUUCCUUAGUCCCCCUUCCUUAACAACCCAACCUCUCAAUUCAAAGACUCCAAAUUUUUCUUCAACUUCCUUCCCUGUAUUCUAGCAAUUUUUUAUAGGACCUCUCAAGUUGAAGCGCCAUAUUUUAUUGCGCAUCAGAAUUUCUUAGUACCCAAAUAAUUGCUUUCCGCUUUCGUUGGAUCCUAUGCUUUCAGCUUAAAUCCGUCGAAAAAGCACGUUUGCUUCAGUUUUGGUAUUGCUUUCGAACUUCAAAGGCGGUUUAAACUUUCGCCCACCAAAUGGUCCACGCUUUGACUGACUGGUAGUCAUGGUUGCUGUCUUUUGGUCAAAAGCUGUCGAUGAUCUGUGAGUGGAACAGCUAAAUUUGGAUGAUUUCGACUUUUGGGUUUUGAGCUUGUGGGUUGUGUUUUUUUUUUUUUUUUUUUUUUUUUUGUUUUUGCUUGUUUCAGCGAUUCUCUGUCUUGUAUUUUGAAGUUCUGGAUAUUGGGAAGUGGUUUGUUUAAGGGUUUGAGGUUUUUUGUUUUGGUGGGGUUUUGUUUUUGUUUGUGUUUGUGUUUCUUCACAUCCUUAAGUAGAAUCAUUGGAUUGUGGGAAUUGAAUUGUAAGUUAUUGCAGUUGGGUUUAGUUGGUGGCUUCAAUUCACGGCUUUUUUCAGAUUCAUGUUUUAGUGAAUUUAAGAAUAUGGAUAUGAGGAGCUGAGAUUAAGGUUGUCGGAGUUGGGGUUUGGUCGGUUUUUGUCGCGCAACCCCGUGCACUAGGCAAAAUGGGGAGCAAUGGGGUUGACCAUCCAUUGAAACAUUUGGAAGAGGAAGGUGUUAGCAGCCAAGGACAGAGUAAGUAUUUUCUGCAAAGUUGUCGAAAUUUAUGAUUGGAAAUGGAUAACAAGUAUUCAAUUUAACAAUUGGUUGCAGGUUCUUUUCAGGGAGAGAGGAAGCAGAAGACAAAUUCUGCACGGCCCUCUUCGGUUUUAGAGAUUUUUCAGGAAAAAGAAUUCAAUGGUGCUUCUUCACCUUGGAGAGGUUAGUGCUCCCACGCAGUCUGAGUUGUAGUUCCUUUUGUUGUUUGUUAUGCAUUGAGGGACUAAAAAUGAAGCUUUUCCUUGAAGAGAGUUGACCAGGUUCUUUCUCUUUAGGGUGAACUAUACGAUUCUAAUUGUUUCUUGACAACCUGGAAUUACUUAAUAUUUAACCGAGAAACUCAAUGAACCAAAAUUUGUUACGCGUUAUUGUCUAUACAAUGCGGAAAGGAGUUUCGUGAUUUAGCUUAAAAUUCAAGUGUAGGAUUUCUGUAUACUGCCAGGAUGUUAGUUGUGCUCUUAGUUUAGUAAUCAGCCAUUAUUUAGUGAAGUUCCUUAGGUAUAAAUAUGUCUUGGAAUUUGGAAUUUAGAUGACCAGACUGAAGUUCUAGAGCGAUGCUGAAAAGAAACGAAAAAAAGUGAUUGAAGUAGUAGAAUAGUUCUUAAAAUAAGUAUUAUCUAAAUUGUGAAAAUACCUAUGAUUAUGUCACACUAUUGUUGUUCUUGUGGCCAAUCCUUUUACUAAACUUUUCAGUGAAUCAUAGGAUGAUGCAAUCAUGAUCCAAACUAAUAGUCUAAUUAGUACAAUGAUGUGAUCAUGCUGACCCCAGAUGGUACUGCACUUUAACGGCAUACUGGGAUCCUAAGUAUUUCUGUUUCUUUUGUUUUAGUAUUUAUCUAUUUGCUCACUGAUACGUACACGUAUGUUCAUGAAGGUUUGGACAAUUCAAUCACAGCGCCUAUUGGCACUCCCAAAGGUUUGCUGAUUAAGGAGCAUGAGAUUAGAUUCUCUAGAUCCAUGAUGGAGAAGAAGGGAAGGCAUGACUUAAAGCUGGAUAGACUGUCAGAGCGUGAAAAGGUAGAUACUAUCAUAUGCGUGGUUGCUUGUUCUCAUACCCUGUUUGCUUACAACUUUUAAUUUGUCCACCUAUCAGAACUAGAAACAUGUUUGUUGGACUAGUUUCUUUCAUGAAGCUGCAACUUCAUGCUGAAUAGAUGGAUGCCAAAUGUUGUCCCCUAAUUUUAUUUGAAAAGCAUGAGUGUAUGACAGUCCCUGUCUUACAGUAUCUUAUAUUUUUUUCAGUACCUGAUGACUGUGACAUAAAUUGAGUUAUAAUUGACGGCUCCAACCACUGAGGUUGCUAGUUAUCCUCCACCCCACUCCCCUCCCCCCAAUUCUUUAUUAACAAAAUUUGGAAUGCAGAUGGUUUUAUUUACUCGUACAUUCUCCUUUUGGUUGAUCAUUGUUUCUCCGGUUUUGAUUUUCAGAAAAAACUAAUUGUUGAGAUGGUCAAGAUACAAAAUGAUGGAAGAGUAGAAGUUGAUUUAGAAAAAAGUGCACCUGUUGCCUCUGAGUUGUUAGAGCUCCACACUGUCGAAGAUGUGCCCAUCAAUCUUGAUGAGAUGCCUUCCAAUACCAUCAAGUCAAUUCCAAGGUUGAAAAUUUGCAUACUUGUUGUUGGAACAAGAGGAGAUGUACAGCCUUUCCUGGCUAUGGCAAAGAGAUUUCAGGCAUGUCCAACAUAACAAGAUGACUUUGUUUUGAAUAAUUUACCGUUGUUGGGCACUAAUUAUUAUAGCUCUUACCUGUAGAGGUAGGCCAUGCUAUGAUGCUAGGCUGCUAGGCAUAUUAAAUUUUAAACAUCAUUGACAUAUUCCUGUAUCCCUUGUUUGAAAAAUGAUGUACCUUAUUGUCUAUAUGUUUCCUGCAUGUUUGAAUGGUUGUAGAUGGUUUGAUCUUUUCUUGCAGGAGUUUGGCCAUCAUGUCAGGUUGGCAACUCAUGCUAACUUCAGUUCUUUUGUGAAGUCAGCUGGUGUAGACUUUUAUCCGUUGGGUGGCGAUCCUCGUGUUUUGGCAGGAUGUAAGAGGUCCUAUAUUGGAAGUACUUUUUUUAAAUGAUAUAUAGCAAUUUAUCUCAUUUUUGGUAGCGAUCUUGUUGGUAGAUCACUUCCUAUGUCUCUGUCUAUUUUGUCAGAUAUGGUGUGAGUUUAUAUGUGGUUCAUAUAGCCGACCCCACUUAGUGGGAUAAGGCUUUGUUGUUGUUGUUGUUGUUUGCUCUCUCUGCUGUUUACUUUCUCUUUCUUGCAGCUGAACCUUAAUCUGAACAACUUGGGAACUUCUCUCCCUCUCUCUCUUUCUCUCUCUCUCACGCACAUGUGCACGCACACAACUCACUCUUCCUCUCUGCAUAAUUUUCUUAUGAAAGCUGAGUUGUAAUUGUGAAAGCUGAGUUAUUCGAUUGAUUAUUGACCACCUUAAAAAUUUAAAAUUACAACUAUUCUUUACUCUUUAGCCAAAAUUCAAGAUUUUCCAAUUCUUGGAGCUCUUAUUUAUGUCACUGGUUACUCUAAAUAUGUUUAAUGUUCCCAAAUUGUCCCCUCAAGUGCUUUAUUGAAUAACUGAAAUUUAGUGCCAUU
Molecule: long non-coding RNA, 67867 nt
Filed under: Malus domestica (apple)
Lineage: Eukaryota; Viridiplantae; Streptophyta; Magnoliopsida; Rosales; Rosaceae
Source: RNAcentral